This 55134-nucleotide long non-coding RNA is filed under the name Citrus sinensis (sweet orange). RNAcentral's name for it is "long non-coding RNA (CSIN_LNC000629)". The record is from RNAcentral. Lineage: Eukaryota; Viridiplantae; Streptophyta; Magnoliopsida; Sapindales; Rutaceae.
CUUUUUUUUUUUUUUUUUGACUCAUUAACAAGUUUUUGUCUCAAGUUUUACUCCAUGUUUCACUUUAAGAGAACUGUUAAGACUUAUCUUCAGUAUACUAUUAUUAGACCCUCACCUACCAACUUAAAUUUUUGAAUCAAACGAUUUCUCUAACAAAGCCAGUUAUUUCAACAAAAAUCAGCCCCUAUAUAUUAAGUUAGAAAUAGUAAGGACAUAAACAUAUAUAUGUACCCAAAUCUAUCGGAAGUAGUUCAAAUCCUCUAGUUGCAUUUGAAUCAAGCAUGAAAGGAAUUAUGCAAGAGUCAUGCUAGACUGCCCGAAAAUUUAGCCCUAAUGAUUAGUUCUUGAAUAGGCAAACUCAAAAAGAAGUAGUUUGCCUCUUGGGGCACUUUCUCCGUCAAAAAUUUCAGGCAAACUAGAAAUUUCCUUUGUGCAAAAAACUGUACAUUUUAGAACAAAUUAAUAUAGGGGAAAUGGUUCUCACCUUAUUUAAUCUUUUGGAAGUAGUUCAAUCGACAAGUUGCAUUUGAAGUAGACUUCUUCACUAUUUAUUAAAAAUGGCUUUUGUCGACUCACAUAUUCCAGUUGCGUUCAUCUCCGCUCUCACAAGUUUCUGAUAAAAAUAUCAAUCAAUUUAAAAUAUAAUAAUGUUCAAGAAAAAGGGGACAGAUUAAAGAAAAAAAAAAGAACAAACAAACGAACGAACGAACAACAUCAAGGCUUGGUUUAAAAAAAGAUAAAUUGAAUCAAUUGAAUUGUGAAUGGUAAUCUUGCCUUGCAUAUGCCCCCAAAGCGGGCUCAAAAGAAUAAGUACCUUUGCCAUCUGAAGACAAGUAUAUAUCUCAAAGAACAUCACUUCUAGCUAUCUGGCAAGUUGGUCUACGACAGUUCUCCCGCCCCUGGAUAAAAAUGAACCGACUAUGUUUAAACACGCGGCUUUGGAGGAAAGAAAAUAUGAACAAUAAUAAUAAUUCAGACGAGCCGCCAUUAGAAUAGGCAGCUUGGUGAAAAUUAAUAAAAAAAUGAACAAUUAAUUUGUUAACAAAUACUCCUUUGCAUGCCAUUAGUGCCAUGCAGAGGUAAAAAUGAUGAUAAUAAAUAAGGGCAAUAAUAAAAACAACUAAAAAUUAAAAAAAAAAAAUUCCCACAAGCCCUAUUCUAGUCAUAUCGUAACAUAAUAAAAUGAAAAACAAAAGUCAAUGAUAGAUUCAAGAUAGCCAGUAAGAAAAACAACUAAAACUAAAAGAACAAGAAAACAAGGCAAAAGACUUACAUAUUUCAGAAAGUCUUGCGAAAAAUGUGAAAAAAUAUAUUAGCAACUUAGCCCUUAAGGUAUGUUGUUUUGCUCUCUGUGGAUAUUCUCUUCGGAUCAUUUGGAUCUAAUGGACGCAUCGCACGAAAUUUGACCUGGCAAAUUAAAGUGUUUGAUAAGGAUGAUAAAUGGAGAACUCAAAACUCAAACGAGGCAAUUGUAUAGAAUUAACCUCAAGAAACCUAACUCUCAAACAUGGAUCAAAUCCAAGAAAGAUAUGAUUCCGAGUCAACAGUCAAAUCUUCAACCCUAUGGUCAUGGCAACUGUCAAAUUGCAAAAGCCUUCCAAAUAUUUUGUUUCACUUUCACAUAGUCUUGGUUUCGAAAUUGGACCUACAUUUGACUCUAAAAUAAUCACGCCCAGCUUCUAAAGUUUCCUCAAAUUCAGUAACAACACAAAGAGAAAAUCCGAUAAACCUUUGAAAAUUACGCCAAUGCAGUGGCAGUUGAAUGGUUAGAAGAUGCUCUACUUUAACGGAUGAACCACUCAGGAAUGCUCUACUCAUUAACGAACGCUGACAAUAAGCCCCAUAUUCUGCGAUAUGUAUGAAAAUCAUUCAUUAUUUAUGGGCAUUAAUAAAUUGGCUUAGGUACUAGUAAAACCUCUCGAGAUAGUUAAAAGGUCAAACUUUCAAACACUGCUAACCUCUUUAGAGAAUAAUCUGGAUGCCGCAGUUGCCGUAUGCUGAAUCCCUAGCUGUAAAUCUGCCAAAGGGUUGGCUUGAUUCAGUUUCAGCCAAUAAGCGAAAAUGAAAUCGACUCCGUGAAAUGAAGAUCCCCGAACAUGCUGGCAGCAUGUUGAUGCAUCCAACUCUUAUAGACAUGACGGAAGCUAGGGCAAAGAAUAUUGAAGCUGCUUGCAAUUUUUUGCUUUUAAAUAACGGAGAGAAAAUGGAAGUUCUGGCCAUGAUUGAAGCAUAAUGCAACUGCACAAGUACAGGAAUCUCGGCUGAGAAAGUUGGUCGAUACUUUGAGGCAAAGUCUUAAACUCGUUUCCCCUUAGAUCCAAAGACUGCAACGGGGAUACACAUUACACAGCCAAAAAAUUUACCGUAAGUUAAUUGCAGUUUUUAUAAGCCUUUGGCAAAUGCUUUUACUUGAAAUAUUAAUACUUUUAAGCCUUUUGCAUUUCUCGAGAUUUAGGCACUCAACUGAUGCACGAAUUUUUUCUAUUGGGGUCCCACGUAAAGGUCUUAAAUUUUCGGUGAUCUGUGGAAACUCUGUGAGAUCAAUAUACAAGGAGAAAUUAACUGCAAUUGGAGAUCUGAAAUGGGUGUUACUUGGAAAGUGCUUAGGACUCUUGCAACCUUCGAGACAUAAGCUGCUAAGAUGAUUAAAAUUAUGAAUGGUUGGGACAACGUAAGGCAACUUUCUACGGUUCAAAAGUUCUAUUCUCUCGAGAUUUGGCAAUUCUGAGGAACAAGGGAUUUUCGCCGAGUCUCGAGAGUGAUGAAGAUCAAUCCAUUUUAACUUAAAUGCUUCCUGUAACAAAAGACAUAUUGCUACAAUGAAUUAGUAUUAAUGAAUUUCACAAUUUAUAUUCAACAAAAGAAAAAUAGAUGAUUAUUGAGCUAUUUUCUAUAGAUCAUAGAUUGUGAUAUAAAUGUAUGAAUUAAAAAAUAUUCUAAAUUGAUUCAAAAUUGUAAAGUAUAUGUAGGAUGUGACAAAUCAUUAAAAAAAUUAUUGGUAUACCUUUUUUUCUUCCUAAAGUUGUUCAAUUUCUUUAUUAUGAGGCAUGUUAAGUGAAAUAAGAUUCUCUUGAAUAAAAUUUAAUGGUAAGAUUUUCAAAUGAUAUCCAUGCCAAUGGAAAUAUCUUAAUUCAUUCCAGAGAUAUUGUAGGCCUUGGAGAAGAUGCACUUUAGAGACUAUACCCAAAUCAUCAAAAUGAUUAUGCAUAUAAAAUUUAAGUAAUUUAAGAUUUAGCAUUUUUGCGAAGCCUCUCGAACUUAGAUGUAUUUCACUUACUUUUGACGUGUCAAGGGACAUGCCUUCAAUUGAAUCAGUUCCCUAAUUAAAAGAAAAAAACAAAAAUUAGCAAUUGAUGAGUGAGAAUAAAAUAACGUAGAAAAAGCUUAAUCAAAUUUGUAACGAUUUGCAUAAUAAAACGAAAUAUUAUAAAUUCGAAGAAUCGAUAUUACUUACUUGAGUCUGUAAAUAAGAAAGAGAAGGAGCAAAUUAAUUAGCUAACCUUAUUUUUCUUUCGUACGUGAUAGACAUCUUCGUGAUACCACAAGCAGCUGCUACAUUUGCCUCGAUCUUUGUAAGAUUCAUGGCAAACAACCCUCUGUCCCAUUUCUUGCAAUAAGUCACGCAUCUGUAACUUAUUGUUUGAUAUUGUUAUUAUUGCCUUACCAGCUAGGAUAUUCAGUCCAUAAUGCACCAAAUAACGGUUGUUUAGUAUUAUUUUCACGUAAUCUCUACCCUCUCCGUUAAAGAAACAAGCAAUGUCUAAAAAUAAAUCCUUCUCUUUAUAGUUUAGUUCAUCGUAACUAAUUUUCAACAUAUCAUGAAUAUCAGGGUCAGAAAUUUGUUUUGGGUUGUGCAAUGCAUUUUCCCAAUGUUGUUUGCUCUUUCGAUAAAAGGACGAGCGUAAUACAUUAAGAGCUAAUGAACUGCCGUUGGCAUAAUCAACUACAUUGUCUGACAACACAAGAAGAUCCCCAGGGCAAUGGUUUUGUCUAAAAGCAUAGUAACAGAAGAUCUCAAGAGAUUCACGAUAGUUGAAUCCCUCAACCUUGUAUACGUAGUCUACUCCGUAUUUAUCAAGCACUUUCUUAUCUCUAGUGGUUACAAUGACUCUACUUCCAUGACCAAAUCGACUAAGCCCUCCUGUUAAAUAUUCUGAAUGUCCAAAUUUAUCCACCUUAUCGAGAAUAAUACAAACAUUCAUUUGCUGAAGCCUUUUCUUAAUACAUUGCGGUAGAAUGGAAGUUUCUACGGUACUUUCUCCUAAAAUUUGAGAAACAAUUUGAUCCCUUAAAUGUACUAAUUCAACCCUUUUUGAUUCUUCUCUAACAUUUGCCAUGAAGCACCAACCUUCAAACUGACUAGAAAUUUGGUUAAAGAUGGCUCCAGCAAUAUCUGUUUUAGAAAUACCACUCAUGCUCCAAGUUCUUACCAUUUGAAAAUCUGGCAAUCUGACGCAUAAAAGUGAAUUAUUUCGCUGAAUGUGUGAAUCUAGUCCAACCAGGUCUUCUGAAUUACCCAAGUGUGGAAUAUCAUGAAUUUUCUUCAAAAUAUCCUUGACAAUUUCAUCUACAAGUUCUGCUUCGGUUCUACCAAAUGUGAGAAAUGAACAACAUUAGCGAGUCAAAGAAAGAAAGAAAGAUAAAGGGGAAAAAGAAUUGGAGAGCCACACAUUAUUUUAUGAGUUUAUACUGGAUUUUGAAACAAGAGAUAAUUGAAAAAAAAAAAAAGGAAAACAGUAAAAAGAUAAACAGGUAUUUAAUUAAAAACUAAAAGUUGAAAACUUUUUUUUUAGGUAAUAUAGGCAUAAUAACAUAUAAGUUUUAAUUUGAGUCUCAAUUGAUAUGGUAUUUAUCCGUCAAAUUUUGGUUAUAUAAUUUUAUAACCUAUUAAAUUGGGACUCAAGAUGAAACUCAGAUAUUUGAAUCUCUAACAUUAUUGUUUUUUUCACCUUAAAAGAAUAUCGAUGACUUAGAGGAAAAAGUUGUGAUUUAAAAAAAAUGUAUAAAAAUUAUUUAUUAUUGAAAAAAAAUUGUUCAACCCCAUAAAGUAAUUAAUAAGGGCAUACUGAUUAUAUAUAACAAUGCAAAAUCAAUAUUUGUAACAAAGAAGCUAUAUUGCCCGGUGGCUUUAGCCUUUAUUUACUUGUCUUAUUUUUUUCCUUUUAUCUAAUAUCAAUCGUCCAUACAGAAUUUGUAGGCCAUUCUUUCAAUGUCAAAAAUGAUAUGAACUGACACUGUGAGUGAAUAGCAACACGUCCGAAUAACCUUUUAAUUUAUAAAAGGGGACACACACACACACACACACACACCCCCGAAUUUAUUUAUGAUAGAGUAAAUGAGACCUGAUUUUCAUGGAAUCCCAUCCACAAAGAUUGGAUGCUUGGGUCAAUGCAGCUCUCCAUUUGUGAACUUUUUGUGGUGUGUCCCUGAAAUCAUUUUCAUGCUCAACAAAAGCGUCUCCAAAACUUCCAGUCUGGUUCCUUACGUCGGAUGGAUCCACAUUGUAGAAAACCGGCAUAACAAUUUGGCCUUUCCUUUUCUUGCAUUCAAGAAUCUUGACGAGUUCAUGCAAGCACCAUGUUGAAGAAGCGUAACCUUUUGAGAAAAUUAUUACCGAAAUCUUUGAUUCUUCAAUUGCAUUCAAAAGGGCUGACGGAAUGUCAUCUCCUUUCUUAAGUUGUUCAUCAAUAAAGGUUUUUAUUUUUUCUCGACAAAAGGCAGCAAAGAGAUGGCUCGUAAAGUUGUUGCGAGUAUCCUCCCCUCUGAAGCUGAGGAAGACAUCGUAUUUUCUUGGAGAGCAGGAUGAUGAUGAUGAAGCCAUCUUCUAUAUAUAUGUGAGUGUGACACAAAGAGAUGGCCAGUAGAAGUGAAAUGAAAGGCGUGCUAUAUGAUCAUCAUGUGGAGGUGGGGUCAAUCUAUUUAUAUACGCAAGUGGUUGGAGCUUUUAAUCAGAUUGUUUUUGUUUAGGUGACUAAAACUAAAGAAAAUUUGCACUUGUAGCUGUAGCUUUCUCCUAUGGGUAAUGCAAAUCUAAUUUUCUCUUCAGAUAACUUUUGGCUGCUAAUCUUUCAUUGUGUGACUUUCCUGCCACCUUGGGACCGGGUUAAUUUCCUUGUAUUUUCUUGGAGAUUAUGCGCAUCCACCGCCGCAAAUGAGAAGUCCCCCUAAUGCUUACAUUAAAAAUGUUAAUAAAAUACACUAGUCAUCAUUUCUUUAGAGCCAAAAAGGAAACAUUGACGGUGAAAAGGAAGAAUAUUACGGAGGUGAAAAGAAAUAGCCGACGAUACAUUAAUAUAUUUUUGUUUUUGCAUGCGCAUUGCAUUAAUUGUCAAUUGCGGGUGGCCAACACACUGCAAACUAAACCCUCUCAAUGGGAACAAGGAAUUUUUUUUAUAGUUAUCGAGGAAACAUAAAUGAACUCUAUAAUUAAUCUAGCACAGAUAUCAAAGCGGAUUAUGAAGAAAACGUCAGAAAAUUCAUUUGCAGUUGGUGGAAGAGAUGGUAAAUUUCCACCAUAUAUAUACUACUUAAUACUUAUAUUCUUAUUAUUUUUAUAAUAUCCAAUAACCUCAACAUUGUAAUUUUACAUUAUUACUUUUAAUUUCAUAUAUACUUUUAUUUAUAUUUAUUAUAAAUUAAAUAAAUUAUAUAAAUAAAAAUAAAAAUUUUAAAUAUUGAAAAUAAGAAAUAUGAGUUUUGAUAUGAAUAAUAUUUUUCUAGUGCUUUUUGUUAUUUUUAAAUUUUUAUAAUAAAUAUAUGUUUUGUAUAUGACUCAUUAUCCCUAUUUCUUUUCAAUAUUUUUCUUUUUGGCCCGGAGGAGCUAUUGGAUAUUGUAAAAACAGUAAAAAGUUAGUGAUAUAUAUUGAUUUUAGUACGAGGAAAACUGAAAAUCUCUCUAUAAUGAAUGAGGACUGGAAAGCUCAUUUAAAAUUUCUCAUAUCAUUUUAACUUCUUCAUUUUCCCCCUUUACUUCUUCUCGUGGUACUAGAGAUUUGGUCUCAAAUUAUGCCUAUAUCAUAUUUAGGAGGAGUUUGAUUUAUAUUAAGGGAAAUUAUCUCCCACCCAUCUCAAGAGUAUUAAAAGUGCAAGUAGACACCACAAGUUUCUUAUAAUAUCUUACUUCAAGUUUUAGUUUUAUUUCAAGCAGCAACUUUUCCAUUAAUUUUGUUAGCCACAGUUACAGAAUCUAAAAUAAAAGACUAUCUUGCCCCUAGAUUCAUUUAACAAGGUAAAGGAUGCAUUCAGAGAAAAAUAUUCAUUUCUUUUAGAUUUUUUAACAUAGCUGAUGGAGUUACUAAAAAAUGAUUAGUUGAUUUAAAACUAAAAUUUUGAGGUGGUUUUGAAAUAUUAUUGAAAACUAAUGUUAACUACUUAUACUUUAAAUAUUCUUGAUGUGGUUGGGAGAUAAUUUCCUUAUAUUAAUUUAUAAAACAAACAAAUGUAAACAGUAGCCUUUUACAACUAUUGAAAGAAGAGAAACAACAAAUUAGGAGAACAUAUCAUGAGCUUUACCCAAUAACAGUUCUUCCAUACAUAUGUUAUUGCAUAUCUUAUAUGACUUAUUUAAUGGCCAUAAGUGCUUAUUUAAUCCCACAAGCUCUUAUCAUAAUUUUUGUUGCUGUUUAUUUAUUUUUUAAUAGAACUUUUAAAGUUUAAAUAAGUUAUUCUACCUCUACUAAUGAAAGCUUAAAUUUUGAGCUUUUAGGAGUAGAGGUUAAAUUUUUUUUUUAAAUGUUAAAAUAUCUUCUAUUUAUUUGACAAUCUUAUUUUAUAUUUUUCAUAACAUAAUUUUAAAAAACUCGUCUAUUAAAGUAUUUCAUAAAGACAUAAAUUUUUUAAUAAAAUCUCUUAUUAACAAUCAAACAACUAAUUUUUUUUUUGUAAAAAAUUUAUUUAUAAAAGUUUUAUUAACAAAGCUCUACUUGAAAAGCUUACCAAAUGAAGCCUUACACAAUUUAAAACUUUAAAAUUUUUUCAUCCUUUUCAAACAGAUUUUUCUUUCAUGCUUCGAAGGCCUUCUACUAGAUUUUUACACUUAUCAUUUUUUGUUUAAAAUGGGUAAUAAUAUGAUUUAAUUUUUUUUAAAAAUAUAAAUAAAAAUUUAAUUAUUUAGGAAAUAAAGGGCUUCAGACUUAUUUAGUUGUUUUCAAAGGUGGGGCGGCAAGCUGUCCCGUAAACGGAUGGAUGGUAGAAGAAAUGACACUUGGCAAAUGUUCCAAACAAGCAACAGUGUCAGGAAAAAUAGCAAGACCGCCCCACGAAUAAUUUAACAAGAAAAAUAACCAAAACAGAUUACCGCUUGCGCAAAAAUGAUGUCAACACAGCCCCACAAAUCCAAGAACGUGAUUAUGGUGCUAUUAGCAAUAGUAACCAGUGAAUUUAUUAGUAAAGACUCACACACGUCAGCAAUCUGAUGAAUGUUUUUAACAUUUCUGUGGGUGAUUAGAGAAGUAAAGACUGGUUUUAAUAGACUAAACAACAGUUGAAAUGUUCAAUAAAGUAGUUGACUAAUCCUGACCAUUAAUUAUUUCGGAUGGAAGGGGAAUCUAAAGUCAAGCACACUUUUUGAGACCACUCCCCAGCAAUUUUCCCAAAAUUUUCUCAUUUUGUCUGUCCUGUUAUAGUUCAAACAUUUAUUUUUUUUUUUUUUUUUUUCAAAAAUAUGCUUUUAUCAUAUCAGAGUUAUAUUUUAAUUGGACAAUAAUGACACGUUUAGCAUUACUCAUCAUCAAAUAAUUUAUACACAGCGUUAAAUGCUAAAAAUUAUACAAGGUACGUGGCAGUUAUGUCACAAAAAAGUGACGCAGGUGCGCGUCAUUGGCCUUUUUCUUUGUUUCUUGGAGUGAAAAACGCGUGGCGGUGGGCGCCGAUAAAGAUGAAACAGAAGAAUGAAGAAAAGUUAAUGAAGAAAAUAGAAAGAAAUGGAAUUCUUCCAUCACUUUUGAUCGAUCGUUGCUUUCUCUCUUUCAUUAUUAUUUUAAUUUGAUUAAAGCUCAACUAUUUUAGUUUAAUGAUUAUUGUUGAAUUCUACCAUAUAAAUUUACUGUGCACGUUACCCUCUUGAACAUUAUUUCGGUUGACGAAAUUUUCAAGUCAAGCACCCAUCUUAGGUUUUUAAUCUGUUAAUAAAGUGUUGACUGGAAAAAUGGAAAAAAAAAAAAGACAGAUCCAAUGUGAAGGAUUUUGUAGGUUCAUUGAUCAGGGCUUAACAGAAGAGCUUGACAAUUAUUUCAGAUGAAUGGAAUUUUCCAAGUCAAGCACAUCUUGAAAAGCUGAGGAUGAAUUAGCCAGCGUGUUAAGGAUAGAAGGAAAUUAUGGAAGUUCCAUGGAAAGAGAAAACUAAUUCUUACAAGGGUAAUUUUGAUAUUAAAAGUCGACUAAGACUGUUGUAGGGGGGGGGGGGGGGGGGGGGGGAGUUCACUUACGUUAAAUUUUUUACUUUAAAAAGUGAUUUAAUUUUUAUCUAUUAUAUCUAUUCAAUUCAAUGGUAGACGGCUGGAGACACUGAAAUUACUUAUAGACUUUAAAUUCUUACCCAUUUGAUUCAGUGGAUCUAAUAAAUGAAAAAUUAAAUCACCUUUUUAAAUAAAAAAAAUUUUAAGUUGAAGGGAACCUCACCUUAUUUGUAUGGUGGCUAUAACUUUAAAAAAUGUAUUGAAUCUUUAUAGUUAUUAUUUCGAACUGUUGAGAUUAUUUUCUAUUCACAAUUAUUUGAUAAAAAAAUCUAUAUUUUUAUUAUUUUUUAUCAAAUACUUACAAAAUACUAAUAUAGAUUUGCCUAGACCAAUACACUAUUUUCUUUUAGUUUUCUACGAUUAAAUCUUAUAUUAAGAAAUAUGGGAGUGGUAUAAUUUACCAACCUAAUUUGUUCUAUCUUUUUCUUAGGAUUGAUUCUUAUUUAUAUAUCAUUAUUCUAUAUUAUAUCAAAUUCUCAUUUUGUAGUUGUCUUGCAACUCCUUAUUAACAUGGAAGCCAUAAAUGUUUUAAUCAUAUUUACUAUUAUGUUCAUGAAUGGCUCAAAUUAUUUGAAGGCUUUUCAAUUAAAUCCUUAAACUAUUGGCAAUGGUCUUACUCCCAUAAUUUGUAUAAGUAGUUUUUUUUAUGCUAAUCACUACUAUUCUAGAUACGUUGUGGUAGAUGAUUAUUUGGCUACACAAGCCAAGUGGAUUAUUGAGCAAGAUACGAUAAGUCAUAGUCAACGAACUGGAAUUCAUUUAUAACCAGACUUCUUAUUAAUAGUGUUUAAUUUGAAGGUGGAAUUUCUAAAAAUUAGGUAAUCUUGGACAAAACUGUUGGGGCAGAAAUAUCAGCUACAUUGUUUUGAACCGGGUUGGUCCAUGUCCAUUCGAUCAAUGUGUAUUUGAGCCCAAUAUGAUUUUGCUGAUUUGACUGUCUGUUGGCCCAAUAGUUCACGCUAUUUCAUGGGUUAUGCACUAGCUUUUAUUAACCAAUUUAGCCCUUCUGUGUGCGGAAAUUAUGGGAAAAAAAAAAAAAAAAAAACAAAACAAAACAAAAGGGUAAAUAAGGUGAAAUAAGAUUGAAAGUGUGGGCCGGAGAAGCGUGAACCCUCUAAUUGUAUCAUAUACAUAUAAUUGACAAUACCAUAAAGGCUUAAGAUAAGAAUAAAAAUUCAAUUUGAUACAAAUGCAAUAAUUCUACCAAUUCAUUUCCAUAUUCGCAAAGUUCCUCAUACGAUUCCCAUCAUUGACUUUCUUCUGUACUCUUGGAAUUUAUUUUUAAUCACCCGGUAAUAAUGCUCGUGCCAAAAUGAUGGUAUACAUUGUGCUUUAAAUUAGCACACGAAAUUUUCCAUCUACAUAUCAUCAUUCAGUUAUAAUAUAAUUGGCGAGGGUGAGGUGGUGACCAAUAUGGAAAGCUAUGAUCACGUCCAUUAACUGACCGUUAACAUUUAUUACUAAAUUUAGAGUUAAUUCCGAUCUAAAUAUGAAAGCAAUCUUGUAGCCUAAAUGCAUAUUCUAUUCUCCUCAUCACUCAGAAAAUGGAUACACAUUCAUAUCUUCAAAUACUUGCACUAUUAGUUAUCUCUCUCGGCUACAUUUUUUCAGUUGCAGAAGCUCAGGAUCAAACUGCAGGUUUCGGUUAUGUUAUUCGAUCAUCUACCAAUGAUUCCUCCUCACUGACUGCUGAUCUUGCCCUCAUCAAGAGCUCCUCCGUUUUUGGUCCUGAUAUUCAGAAUCUCAGUCUUUUUGCAAGGUGUUUCAAAAGAGUUGUUUUUAUUCAUUUAUUUUAUCAUUUUAUGCGUACAUAUAUAUAUACACACAUGAUUCUAUUGCUUUACUGCAGCUACGAAACAAAAGAUCGUUUGAGAGUCCGAAUAACAGAUUCAAAGAACAAAAGAUGGGAAAUUCCUGAAGAUAUAAUAGCCCGCCAAUCGAACUCCACACGAAACCAUCAAUUCCUCUCGGACCCCGAAUCCGAUUUGGUCUUCAACCUCCAUAACGCCACCCCAUUCGGCUUCUCCGUCACCCGCAGGUCCUCCGGUGAACUUCUUUUCGACACGUCACCAAACGCCUCGAGUACUGAUAGCGUCUUGGUGUUCAAAGAUCAGUACAUUCAGCUGUCUUCCGCUUUGCCAUCACAAGGCUCUGAUCUUUACGGACUCGGAGACCACACGAAGAAGACAUUCAAGCUGAAGCCUGACCAGAAACAGAUAACUUUGUGGAAUGCUGACAUAGCAGCAGCAGCUGUUGAUGUUAACCUCUAUGGCGCUCACCCUUUUUACAUUGAUUUGAGAUCCCCCAAUGGGACAACUCACGGUGUCUUGCUACUUAACAGCAAUGGCAUGGAUGUUGUUUACACUGGUGACAGAAUUACUUUCAAGGUUAUUGGAGGGAUUAUCGAUUUGUAUUUUUUCGCCGGUCCGUCUCCAGAUUCAGUUAUACGACAGUACACAGAAUUGAUCGGCCGCCCUGCCCCUAUGCCAUAUUGAUCCUUUGGUAAGUCCUGAGGCUUCACAUUCAAUUUGAAUAAUUUAUUAUUUAUAUGCUUAUUAUUGAUCAUUGGUUUGUUGCAAAAUGUGUCCAGGAUUUCAUCAGUGUCGAUAUGGUUACAAGAAUGUGUCAUACCUUGAGGGUGUGGUCGCCGGCUAUGCAAACGCUAGUAUCCCGCUUGAAGUUAUGUGGACAGAUAUUGAUUACAUGGAUGCUUACAAAGAUUUCACUCUUGAUCCCAUCAACUUCCCUGUGGACCCAAUGAAAACAUUUGUUGAUAAUCUUCAUAAAAAUGGUCAAAAAUAUGUGGUCAUAGUGGAUCCGGGUAUCUAUCAAAUUCCCCCUUUGCUGAUUGCUGCUGACACUUUUGCGGUUUAUUUGUCCUGUGCAAAGCUCAUUUGGUUCUUAUUUCCCAUAGGUAUUAGCACAAAUGAGACUAACGAUACUUUCGAUAGAGGGAUGAAGGCUGAUAUCUAUAUUAAACGCGAAGGUGUACCUUACAAAGGUAAAGUUUGGGCCGGUGAUGUUUACUUCCCUGAUUUUCUGAAUCCUGCCAUUGAAACUUUUUGGGAAGGUGAGAUCAAAUUAUUUCGGAAUACUCUUGCGGUGGAUGGGUUUGGCUUGACAUGAAUGAGUUAUCUAAUUUCAUAACUUCGAGUCUCGCCCCGUCUUCUACUUUGACGAUCCUCCCUACAAGAUUAGUAAUGGUGGAGGUGGAAAGCAAAUUAAUGACAGAACUUUUCCGGCAAGUGCUCUGCAUUUCGGCAACGUUACAGAGUAUAAUUCCCAUAAGGCCAUAACCUUUAUGGACUGCUGGAAGCAAAGGCUACUCAUGCAGCCUUGAUCAAUGUCACCGGUAAAAGGCCAUUCAUACUUAGUAGAUCCACUUUUGUUAGCUCCGGAAAGUAUGCAGCUCAUUUGACUGGCGAUAAUGCCGCUAGAUGGGAUGAUUUGGCCUAUUCAAUUCUUGCCAUAUUGAAAGUUGGUGUACGACAGUCCUCCCGCCCCUGGAUAGAAAUGAACCGACUAUAUUUGAACACGCAGCUUCGGAGAAAAGAAAAUAUGAACAAUAAUAAUAAUUCAGACGAGCCGCCAUUAGAAUAGGCAGCUUGGUGAAAAUUAAUAAAAAAAUGAACAAUUAAUUUGCUAACAAAUGCUCCUUUGCAUGCCAUUAGUGCCAUGCCGAGUUAAAAAUGAUGAUAAUGAUAACAACAACUACAAUUAAAAAAAAAAAAUUAUUCCCACAAGCCCUAUUGGAGUCAUAUCGUAACAUAAUAAAAUGAAAAAAAAAAAAAUCUAUGAUAGAUUCAAAAUAUGCAGUAAGAAAAACAACUAAAAAUAAAAGAACAAGAAAACAAGGCAAAAGACUUACAUAUUUCAGAAAGUCUUGUGAAAAAUGUGAAAAAAUAUAUUGGCAACUUAGCCCUUAAGGUAAGUUGAUUUGCUCUCAGUGGAUAUUCUCAAUGGAUCAUUUGAAUAUAUGAUUCCGAGUCAAUAAUCAAAUCUUGAACCCUAUAGUCAUGGCAACCGUCAAAUUGUAAAAGCCUUCCAAAAAUUUUGUUUCACUUUCACACACAGUCUUGGUUUCAAAAUUGGACCUACAUUUGACUCUAAAAUAAUCACGCCCAGCAGCUAAAGUUUCCUCAAAUUCAGUAACAACGCAAAGAGAAAAUCCGAUUAACCUUUGAAUAGUACACCAAUGCAGUGGCAGUUGAAUGGUUAGAAGAUGCUCUACUUCGACGGAUGAACCACUCAGGAAUGCUCUACUUAUUAACGAACGCUGAUAAGAAGCCCCAUAUUCUGCGAUACAGUUAAGAGUAUCGUUGAUUAUUUAUGGGCAUUAAUAAAUUGGCUUAGGCACUAGUAAAACCUCUCGAGAUAGUUAAAAGGUCAAACUUUCAAACACUGCUAACCUCUUUAGAGAAUAAUCUGAAUGCCGCAGUUGCCUUUUGCUGAAUACCUAGCCGUAAAUCUGCCAAAGGGUUGGCUUGAUUCAGUUUCAGCCAAUCAGCGAAAAUGAAUUCGACUCUGUGAAAUGAAGAUCCCCGAAGGUGCUGGCAGCCUUCGGAUGCAUCCAACUCUUGUAGACAUGACGGAAGCUCGGGCAAAGAAUAUUGAAGCUGCUUGCAAUUUUUUGCUUUUAAAUAACUGACAGAAAAUGGAAGUUCUGGCCAUGAUUGAAGCAUAAUGCAACUGCUCAAGUACAGGAAUCUCAGCUGAGAAAGUUGCUUGAUACUUUGAGGCAAAGUCUUAAACUCGUUUCCCCUUAGAUCCAAAGACUGCAACGAGGAUACACAUUACACAGCCAAAAAAUUUACCGUAAGUUAAUUGCAGUUUUUAUAAGCCUUUGGCAAAUGCUUUUACUUGAAAUAUUAGUACUCUUAAGCCUUUUGCAAUUCUCGAGAUUUGGGCACUCAACUGAUGAACGAAUUUCUUCCAUUGGGGUCCCACGAAAAGGUCUUACAUUUCCGGUGAUUUGUGGAAACUCUGUGAGAUUAAUACACAAGGAGAAAUUAACUGCAAUUGGAGAUCUAAAAUGGGUGUUACUUGGAAAUUGCUUAGGACUUUUGCAACCUUCGAGACACAAGCUGCUAAGAUGAUUGAAAUUAUGAAUGGGUGGGACAACGUAAGGCAACUUUCUACAGUUCAAAAGUUCUGUUCUCUCAAGAUUUGGCAAUUCUGAGGAAUAAGGGAUUUUCGCCGAGUCUCGAGAGUGAUGAAGAUCAAUCCAUUUUAUCUUAAAUGCUUCCUGUAACAAAAAGGCAUAUUGCUACAAUGGAUUAGUAUUAAUGAAUUUUACAAUUUAUAUUCAACAAAAGAAAAAUAGAUGAUUAUUGAGCUAUUUUCUAUAGAUCAUAGAUUGUGAUAUAAAUGUAUGAAUUAAAAAAUAUUCUAAAUUGGUUCAAAAUUGUAACGUAUAAGUAGGAUGUGACAAAUCAUUAAAAAAAUAUUGGUAUACCUUGUUUUUUCCUAAAGUUGUUCAAUUUCUUUAUUAUGAGGUAGGUUAAGUGCAAUAAGACACUCUUGAAUAAAAUUUAAUGGUAAGCUCGUAAAAAAAACAAAAAUUAAUGGUAAGAUUUUCAAAGAAUAUCUAUGCCAAUGGAAAUAUCUUAAUUCAUUCCAGAGAUAUUGUAUGCCUUGGAGAAGAUGCACUUUAGAGAAUAUACCCAAAUCAUCAAAAUGCUUAGGCAUAUAAAAUUUAAGUAAUUUAAGAUCUAGCAUUUUCGCAAAGCCUCUCGAACUUAGAUGUAUUUCACUUACUUUCGACAUGUCUAGGGACAUACCUUCAAUUGAAUUAGUUCCCUAAUUAAAAAAAUAAAGGAAAUUAGCAAUUGAUGAGUGAGCAUAAAAUAACGCAGAAAAAUCUUAAUCAAAUUUGUAAGGAUAUGCAUAAUAAAUUGAAAUUUUGAAAAUUCGAAGAUUCGAUAUUACUUACUUGAAUCUCCAAAUAAGAAAGAGAAAAAGCAAAUUAAUUAGCUAACCUUAUUUUUCUUUCGUACGUGAUAGACAUCUUCAUGAUACCACAAGCAGCUGCUAUAUUUGCCUGGAUCUUUGUAAGAUUCAUGGCAAACAACCCUCUGUCCCAUUUCUUGCAAUAAGUCACGCAUCUGUAACUUAUUGUUUGAUAUUGUUAUUAGUGCCUUACCAGCUAGGAUAUUCAGUCCAUAAUGCACCAAAUAACGGUUGUUUAGUAUUAUUUUCACGUAAUCUCUACCCUCUCCGUUAAAGAAACAAGCAAUGUCUAAAAAUAAAUCUUUCUCUUUAUAGUUUAGUUCAUCGUAACUAAUUUUCAACAUAUCGUGAAUAUCAGGGUCAGAAAUUUGUUUUGGGUUGUGCAAUGCAUUUUCCCAAUGUUGUUUGCUCUUUCGAUAAAAGGACGAGCNNNNNNNNNNNNNNNNNNAAAUUAUCAAAGGCAUGCGAAGGCUCACUGCUGUACGCCCUCUCCGUUAAAGAAACAAGCAAUGUCUAAAAAUAAAUCUUUCUCUUUAUAGUUUAGUUCAUCGUAACUAAUUUUCAACAUAUCGUGAAUAUCAGGGUCAGAAAUUUGUUUUGGGUUGUGCAAUGCAUUUUCCCAAUGUUGUUUGCUCUUUCGAUAAAAGGACGAGCCUAAUACUUUAAGAGCUAAGGAACUGCCGUUGGCAUAAUCAACUACAUUGUCUGACAGCACAAGAAGAUCCUCAGGGAAAUGGUUUUGUCUAAAAGCAUAGUUACAAAAGAUCUCAAGAGAUUCACGAUAGUUGAAUCCCUCAACCUUGUAUACGUAGUCUACUCCGUAUUUAUCAAGCACUUUCUUAUCUCUAGUGGUUACAAUGACUCUACUUCCAUGACCAAAUCGACUAAGCCCUCCUGUUAAAUAUUCUGAAUGUCCAAAUUUAUCCACAUUAUCGAGAAUAAUACAAACCUUCAUUUGCUGAAGCCUUUUGUUAAUAUAUCGUGGUGGAAUGGAAGUUUUUAUGAUAUUUUCUCCUAAAAUUUGAGAAAGAAUUUGAUCCCGUAAAUGUUCUAAUUCAACCCUUUUUGAUUCUUCUCUAACAUUUGCCAUAAAGGACCUACCUUCAAACUGACUAGAAAUUUGGUUAAGGAUGGCUCUAGCAAUAUCUGUUUUAGCAAUACCAUGCAUGUCCCAAGGUCUUACCAUUCGAAAAUCUGGCAAUCCGAUGCAUAAAAGUGAAUUAAUACGCUGAAUGUGUGAAUCUACUCCAACUAGGUCUUCUGAAUUACCGAAGUGUGAAAUAUCAUGAAUUUUCUUCAAAAUAUCCUUGACAAUUUCAUCUACAAGUUCUGCUUCGUGUCUACCAAAUGUGAGAAAUGAACAACAUUAGUGAGUCAAAGAAAGAAAGAAAGAAAGAAAGAAAGAAAGAAAGAUAAAGGGGAAAAAAAUGGAGAAGAAACCACAUAUUAUUUUAUGAAAACAAGAGAUAAUAAUAAAAAAAAGAAUGGAAACAGAUAAGAAGAUGAAGAGGUAUUUAUUUAAAAACUAAUAGUUAAAGACCUUUUUUUUUGGUAAGUAAUAUAGGCAUAAUAACAUAUAAGUUUCAAUUUGAGUCUCAAUUGAUAUGGUAUUUAUCCAUCAAAUUGUGGUUAUAUAAUUUUAGAGCAAUGAUAUAGCCACAAAUUCUUGUACAAAUUUAUUUUGUACAAACUGAUGUGGCAUUAAUUCAUUGGUUGAAUUAAAUAUCUCUUGGUCCAUAUGAUUUAUUUAUAUUAUUUUAUAUUUUCAUUCAACCAAUGAAUUAAUGUCACAUCAGUUUGUACAAGAUAAGUUUGUACAAGAGUUUGUAUCUGUAACAUCACUCAUAAUUUUAUAACCUAUUAAAUUAGGACUCAAGAUGAAACUUGGAUAUUAGAAUCCCUAACAUUAUUACUUUUUUCAUCUUAAAAAAUAUUGAUGACUCCGAAGAAAAAGUUGUGAUUUUUUUUUAAAAAAAUAAAAAAUGUAUAGAAAAUAUUUAUUAUUGAAAAAAAAAAUUUGUUCAACCCCAUAGAGUAAUUAAUAAGGGCAUACUGAUUAUAUAUACACAAUGCAGAAUCAAUAUUUGCAUCAAAGAAGCUAUAUUGUCUGGCGGCUUCAGCCUUUAUUUACUUGUUUUAUUCUUUUUAUCUAACAUCACUCGUCUAUGCAGAAUUUGUAGGUCAUUCUUUCAAUGUCAAAAGUGAUAUUAACUGACUCUGUGGGUGAAUAGCAACACGUCCGAAUAACUUUUCCUGGUACAAUGUAAGAUAUGACCAAUGAGUAAUUAUUAAUUUAUAAAAGGGGAUACCCCCCCGCGCCGAAUUUAGUUAUGAUAGAGUAAAUGAGACCUGAUUGUCAUGGAAUCCCAUCCACAGAGAUUGGAUGCCUGGGUCAAUGCGGCUCUCCAUUUGUGAACUUUUUGUGGCAUGUCCCUGAAAUCAUUUUCAUGCUCCACAAACGCGUCUCCAAAACUUCCAGUCUGGUUCCUUACGUCGGAUGGAUCCACAUUGUAGAAAACCGGUAUAACAGUUUGGCCCUUCCUUUUCUUGCAUUCAAGAAUCUUGACGAGUUCCUCCAAGCACCAAGUUGAAGAAGCAUAACCUUUUGAGAAAAUUAUUACCGAAAUCUUUGAUUCUUCAAUUGCAUUCAAAAGGGCUGACGAAAUGUCAUCUCCUUUCUUAAGUUGUUCAUCAAUAAAGGCUUUUAUUUUUUCUCGACAAAAGGCAGCAAAGAGAUGGCUAGUAAAGUUGUUGCGAGUAUCCUCCCCUCUGAAGCUGAGGAAGACAUCGUAUUUUCUUGGAGAGCAGAAUGAUGAUGAUAAAGCCAUGUUCUAAUAUAUGCGUGUGACACAAAGAGAUGGCAAGUAUAAGUGUAAUGAAAGGCGUACUAUAUGAUAAUCAUGUGGAGGUGAGGUCAGUCUAUUUAUAUGCACAAGUGGUUGGAGCUUUUAAUCAGAGUGUUUUUGUUUAGGUGACUAAAAAUAAAGAAAAUUUGCACUUGUAGCUGUAGCUUUCUCUUAUGGGUAACACAAAUCUUUUUUUCCUCAUGAGAUAACUUUUGGCUGCUAAUCUUUCAUUGUAUGACUUUCCUGCCACCUUGGGGCCGGGUUAAUUUCCUUGUAUUUUCUUGGAGAUUAUGCGCAUCCACCGCCGCAAAUGAGAAGUCUUCCUAAAGCUUACAAUAGAAAUGUUAAUAAAAUACACAAGUCAUCAUUUCUUUAGAGCAAGCAAGAAAAUAGUGACGGUGAAAAGGAAGAAUAUUACAGAGGUGAAAAGAAAUAGCCGACGAUACAUUAAUAUAUUUUUGUUUUUGCAUGCGCAUUGCAUUAAUUGUCAAUUGCGGGUGGCCAACACACUGCACACUAAACCCUCUCAAUGGGAACAAGGAAUUUUUUUGAUAGUUUUCAAGGAAACAUAAAUGAACUCUAUAAUUAUUCUAGCUCAGAUAUCAAAGCGAAUUAUGAAGAAAACGUCAGAAAAUUCAUUUGUAGUUGGUGGAGGAGAUUGCAAAUUUCCACAUGUCCUAAAAUUAAUAUAUACUACUUAUAAUUUUAUUAUUUUUAUAAUAUUUAAUAAUCUCAGGACUAUAAUUUUACAAUAUUAAUUUAGUUUUAUAUACACUUUUAUUCAUAUUUAUUAUAAAUUAAAUAAAUCCUGUAAAUUAAUAAUAAAAGUUUUCAGUUGUUUUUACAUAUUUUUAUAAAAAAAAAAUAUUUUAUAUAUGACUCAUUUAUCCCUCCUUCCUUUCUUUCUUUUUUUUUUUUAAUAGAAGGGCUAUUGGAUAUUUUAAAAACAGUAAAUGGUCAAUGGUAUGUAUCUAUUUUAGUACAAGAAAAACUGACAAUCUCUCUGUAAUGUAUGAGGAUUAGAAAGAUCAUUUAAAAUUUCUCAUAUCAUUUUAACUUCUUCAUUUUUCCCCUUCAACUUGCUCCCUUUACUUGUUCUCGUGGUAAUAGAGAUUUGUUUUCUAUGCUUAUACCAUAUUUAGGAGGAGUUUGAUUUAUAUUGAGGGAAAUUAUCUCCCACCCAUCUCAAGAGUAUUAAUAGUAUGAGUAAAUGCCACGAGUUUCUUAUGAUAUCUUACUUCAAGUUUUAGUUUUAUUUCAAGAUUAUCUUAACCCCAAAUCCAUUUAAAAAGGUAAAACAAUAUUUUGGGAUACCUUGGGAGAAAAAUAUUCAAUUCUUGUAGAUUUUUUAACAGUAGCUUAUGAAAUUGAUAAAAAAGUGAUUUGUUGAUAUAAGAUUAUAUUGAGAUAUUAUAAAAAGGACGUGGUCUCUUACAACUAUUGAAAGAAGAGAAACAAAUUAGGAGAGCGUAUCAUCAGCUUUACCCAGUAACAAUUCUUGCAUGCAUAUAUUACACAAUGUAAAGAUUUAGAGAUUUUUUUGAUCCUUUUAAAAAAGGAUUUUUCUUUCAUGCUUCGAAGGCCUUCUAUUAGGUUUUUACGCUUAUGGUUUUUGUUUAAAAUAGGUAUUAAUAUGAUUUAAUUUAAAAAAAAUAGAAAUAAAAUUUUAAUCAUUUAGGAAAUGAAUGGCUUCAGACUUAUUUAGUUGUUUUCAAGGUGGGGCGGCGUGAAUGGACGGAUGGUAGCAGAAAUGACACUUGGCAAAUGUUCAAAACAAAGCAACUAUAUCAGGAAAAAUAACAAGACCGCCCCGCGAAUAAUUUAACCAGAAAAAUAUCCAAGACAGAUCACCGUUUCCGCAAAAAUGAUAACAACACUGCCCCACAAAUCAAAGAACCUGAUUACGGUGUUGUUAGCAAUAGUAACUAGUGAAUUUAUUAUUAAAGACUCGCACACGUCAGCAAUCUGAUGAAUGUUUUGGCCAGCCAGAAUCCAUUUUAACAUUCCUGUGGGUGAUUAAAGAAGUAAAGACUGGUUUGAAUGGACUGAUCAGCGGUUGAAAUGUUCAAUAAAGUAGUUGACUAAUCCUGACCAUUAAUUAUUUCCGAUGGAAAGGGGUUUUUCAGUCAAGCACACUUUCCGAGACUCCUGCCCCGUAAUUUUCCAAAAUUUUCUCAUUUUGUCCAGUUAUUGUUCAAACAUUUGUUUUAUUUUUUUGGAAAAUUUGUUUUUGUCGUUUUAGAAUUAUGUUACUUUAAUUGGACGAUAAUGAUAGUGUAGCAUUGCUCAUUAUCAAAUAAAUUUUUUUAAUGUAUUAAAUUAUUUAGUAUCUAAAGAUCACAUUGAUCCUAAUUAAUCUAGAUUUGAAUUAGAUAAAAUCAUUGAGCGUAAAUUUUUUUUAAUAAAUAUUUAAUAUAAUUAUAUUUUCAAGUCUCAAUUCGAGAAUUUCGAUCAAGUUUAAACAACCUCAUAUCAGUUGAUCAAAUAAUUUAUAAUCAGUGUUAACUGAUAAAAAUAUCCGAGGUAGGUGGUAGUUAUAUCACAAGAGAGUGACGCAGGGGCGCGUCAUUUGCCUUUUUCUUUGUUUCUUGGAGUGAAAAACGUGUGGCGGUGGCCGCCGAUAAAGGUGAAACAAAAGAAUGGGGAAAAGUUAAUGAAGAAAAUAGAAAGAAAUGGAAUUCUUCCAUUACUUUUGAUCAAUGUUGCUUUCUUUCUUUCAUUUUUAUAUCAAUUUGAUUAUGGCUAAACUGUUUUAGUUUAAUGAUUAUUGUUGAAUUCUACCAGACAAAAUUUACUAUGCACGUUACCCUCUUGAACAUUUUUUCGGUUGAAGAAUAUUUUCAAGUCAAGCACUCAUCUUACGUUUUUAAUUUGUUAAUAAAGUGUUGACUGAAAAAAAAAAAAAAAAAAGACAAACACACACAAAAUUAAUCUUGACAAUUAUUUCAGAUGAAUGGAAUUUUCCAAGUCAAGCACAUCUUGAAAAGCUGAGAAUGAAUUCGUUUGCUUGAUAUGGAGAGAAGGAACUUAUGGAAGUUCCAAGGAAAGAAAACACUAAUUCUUACAAGGUUAAUUUUGAUAUUAAAAGUCGUCUAAGUAUUGUUGCAGGGGGAGCGUUCUCAUACGUUAAAUAUUUUACUUUGAAAAGUGAUUUAAUUUUUAUCUAUUAGAUCUAUUCAAUUCAAUGGUAAGACGGAUUGAGACACGAAUACUGCUUUUUGACUUUAAAUUCUUACCAUCUAAUUGAAUGGAUCCAAAUAAUAAAAAAUUAAAUCAUAUUUUUCAGUAAAUUUUUUUAAGUUGAAAGGAACCUCACCUUAUUUGUACAGUGGUUAAGACUUUUAAAAAUGUAGUUAACCUUUAUAAUUAUUGUUUCUGAUUGUUGAGAUGAUUUUAUAUUCGCAGUUAUUUAAUAAAAAAAUUAUAUUUUUAUUAUUUUUAUCAAAUUAUUAUUUAAAAAUAAUACAUAGGAAAUAUUAAUAUAAUGAAUUUGCCUAGACCAAUACACUAUUUUCUUUUAAUUUUUAGAAUCAAAUCUUAUAUUAAGAAAUCUAGGAGUGAUAUAAUUUACCAACCUAAUUUGUUCUACCUUUAAUUCUUAUUUAUUUAUCAUUAUUAUAUAUUCUAUCAAAUUCUCAUUUUGUAGUUGUCGCGCAACUCCUUAUUGAUAUGGAAGCCAUAAAUGUUUUAAUCAUAUUUACUUUUAUGUUCAUUCAUGAAUAGCUCAAAUUAUUCCAAAGAUUUUCAAUUAAAUCCUUGUAACUAUUGGCAACGGUCUUACUCCCAUAAUUUGUACAAGUAGUUUUUUUUUUUUGGGCUAAUCACUAUUAUUCUAGAUAGGUUGUGGUACAUGAUUAUUUGGAUUAUUGAGCCCGAUUUGAUAAGUCAUAGUCAACGAACUGGAAUUCAUUUAUAAACGGACUUCUUAUUGCUAGUGUUUAAUUUGAAGGUGGUAUUUCUUAAAAUUGGGUAAUCUUGGACACAACUGUUGGGGCAGAAAUAUCAGCUACAUUGUUUUGAACCGGGUUGGUCCAUGUCCAUUCGAUCAAUGUGUAUUUUGAGCCCAAUAUGAUUUUGCUGAUUUGACUGUCUGUUGGCCCAAUAUUUCACGCUAUUUCAUGGGUUAUGCACUAGCUUUUAUUAACCAAUUUAGCCCUUCUGUGUGCGGAAAUUAUGGAAAAAUAAAAAAAAACAAAACAAAACAAAACAAAAGGGUAAAUAAGGUGAAAUAAGAUUGAAAGUGUGUGCCGGAGAAGCGUGAACCCUCUAAUUGUAUCAUAUGCGUAUAAUUGACAAUACCAUAAAGGCUUAAGAUAAGAAUAAAAAUUCAAUUUGAUACAAAUGCAAUAAUUCUACCAAUUCAUUUCCAUAUUCGCAAAGUUCCUCAUACGAUUCCCAUCAUUGACUUUCUUCUGUACUCUUGGAAUUUAUUUUUAAUCACCCAGUAAUAAUGCUCGUGACAAAAUGAUGAUAUACAUUGUGCUUUAAAUUAUCACAUGAAAUUUUCCAUAUACAUAUUAUCUUCAGUUAUAAUAUAAUUGGCGAGGGUGCGGUGGUGACCAAUAUGGAAAGCUACGAUCACGUCCAUUAACUGACCGUUAACAUUUAUUACUAAAUUUAGAGUUAAUUCCGAUCCAAAUAUGAAAGCAAUCUUGUAGCCUAAAUGCAUAUUCUAUUCUCCUCAUCACUCAGAAAAUGGAUACACAUUCAUAUCUUCAAAUACUUGCACUAUUAGUUAUCUCUCUCGGCUACAUUUUUUCAGUUGCAGAAGCUCAGGAUCAAACUGCAGGUUUCGGUUAUGUUAUUCGAUCAUCUACCAAUGAUUCCUCCUCACUGACUGCUGAUCUUGCCCUCAUCAAGAGCUCCUCCGUUUUUGGUCCUGAUAUUCAGAAUCUCAGUCUUUUUGCAAGGUGUUUCAAAAGAGUUGUUUUUAUUCAUUUAUUUUAUCAUUUUAUGCGUACAUAUAUAUAUACACACAUGAUUCUAUUGCUUUACUGCAGCUACGAAACAAAAGAUCGUUUGAGAGUCCGAAUAACAGAUUCAAAGAACAAAAGAUGGGAAAUUCCUGAAGAUAUAAUAGCCCGCCAAUCGAACUCCACACGAAACCAUCAAUUCCUUUCGGACCCCGAAUCCGAUUUGGUCUUCAACCUCCAUAACGCCACCCCAUUCGUCUUCUCCGUCACCCACAGGUCCUCCGGUGAAGUUCUUUCCGACACGUCGCUAAACGCCUCGAGUGCUGAUAUCGUCUUGGUGUUUAAAGAUCAGUACAUUCAGCUAUCUUCCGCGUUGCCAUCACAAGGCUCUGAUCUUUACGGACUCCGAGACAGCACGGAAGAAGACAUUCAAGCUGAAGCCUGACCAGAAACAGAUAACUUUGUGGAAUGCUGACAUAGCAGCAGCAGCUGUUGAUGUUAACCUCUAUGGCGCUCACCCUUUUUACAUUGAUUUGAGAUCCCCCAAUGGGACAACUCACGGUGUCUUGCUACUUAACAGCAAUGGCAUGGAUGUUGUUUACACUGGUGACAGAAUUACUUUCAAGGUUAUUGGAGGGAUUAUCGAUUUGUAUUUUUUCGCCGGUCCGUCUCCGGAUUCAGUCGUACAACAGUACACAGAAUUGAUGGGCCGCCCUGCCCCUAUGCCGUAUUGGUCCUUUGGUAAGUCCUGAGGCUUCACAUUCAAUUUGAAUAAUUUGUUAUUUAUAUGCUUAUUAUUGAUCAUUGGUUUGUUGCAAAAUGUGUCCAGGAUUUCAUCAGUGUCGAUAUGGUUUGUAGCUGCAGAUAAAGAAUCAGUUGGGCAUGGCUUCUCUGUUCGAUCAACAGUUGUUGACUCCUCACUGAAGUCGUUGACUGCUGGACUUGGCCUCAUCAGGUCCUCCUAUGUUUACGAACCUGAUAUUCAGAGCCUCAUAUCUUUUUGCCAGCUUUUAAAAUGUACGACUUAACUGUUCCUUGCUUUUAUGUAUUGUUCACUGACUGUUAGACUCAGCAGCCAGCGCGAUAAAGACUUGUUGCAAGUUCUAAAUUCUGAAUUUAAGAUUGAUUGAUGUGAUUAUCUUCUGAGUUUCUCUUCAGCUUGGAGACAAAAGUCCGUUUGAGAGUUCGAAUAACAGAUUUUAAAAAACAAAGAUGGGAAAUCCCGCAGGAAAUCAUCCCCCGCCAAUCCUAUUGCACUCACUGCUCUCUGCCGAAGAACAUAUUAAACUCACUGGUAAACAAGGAUAAAGAUUCAUUCCAUUUUCUAUACCUUAAUAAACGGUGCGUAAUGCUUUUUAUAUGUCUUCCAAAGAAAAAUAAUGACAAACUGCUUCACAAACAAAAUGCAUAAAUAAGUUACAAUUGCUUUCGAACCUUUAUUUUCUUAACUUCUGCCCGGAAUUGACUUGCUCCCAGAAAUACUUAGAACAACGUUUUUUUUUUAGGGGAUGAUAAAACCCAAAUCCUCCUAAAAUAGAUGUAAAUACAUAAAAAUAAAAGAAAAGAAUACACCAUCAAUUGAAAUAAUAAACUAGCAAUCCUCUUGUAUGAUAUGAGGAAAAGUUUGCGCAUUUAAAUAGAGAAUGCCAGAUAAGCCCGUAGGUAGAUUUGGAGUACACAAGAAACGCUGGCUAACCCGAUGAAUGCAAGCCUAGUUGGCCAGAAAAUCAGUAGCAGAUGUAGCCUCCCAAAGCACAUGUCUAAUCAAAAUAUGAGAAGAAGAUAUCAAAGCACACACCCGACGUAACAAAUAAGCAUAAUCCCAACAAACAGGGCCCUGAGAAUGAAUCUAAGAUACCACAAUGGCUGAAUCUGAUUCUACCUCAAGUGUAGAGUAUCCAAGAUGAGUAGCGAACUCUAACCCCUCACAAAUAGCCAUAAGCUCAGCAUAAAUAAUCGGUUGGCAACCAAGAAAAGAUCCAAAAGCAGCCAAAAUGUCAUCUUGAUGAUCACGAAGAAUACCACCCAUUGAACAACGUUAUUUGUUUUAUUCAUUUUACAGAAAAAUAAUGUAACAUACAAAAGCUCAAUACUAUCCUAUACAACUACAUGUGUAGCCUGCUACUUAUGUUUAUAUCUACUUUACUGAGACGGCUCAAACGCUGAUGAUUUCUUGAGCCAGUCAAUAGAAAAGAAUGUUGUGAAGAAGUAAAUUUUCUUUCAUCCUAACCUAGACAAUUUCAGACAUGACUUCUGGAAUUAUGAGAAAUUCAUGACAUAUCAAAACAAUGAAUACAAGUAUUAUCAAUAAGCCUAGUUUACAAGUCUCUCUGGCUCAGGAAUGAGAGCAGAGCUCACAUCAUUCCAGAAAUGAAAUGUCAAUGACCCACCUAGAAUUUUUUUUCCGUAGAGCACCUUGUUGAGCUUUUUCACUUUCUGUCGCUGGAGUGAUGAAAUAUCUGUUUGCAUUGAAGAUGUAUUAUGUCAAAAAUGAGAAAGUGUAGUUAAAACCAAAAGCACUCAACACUUAAAUGGUUGAGCUAUAAAAGAAUGGAUUUGUGCACAAACAUAAACCAGACAAACAUAAGUACAAUAGCAAGAAGGUGAAUAAAGAUGGUAAUGAUUUAAUGGAAAAAUCAUAAUUUAUAAGCAACAUAAGGAGUUAACUUAUAGUUCAUUGUGAAAAAAUAAAUUUAAUUUAUGGAUUCAGUGGUUACAGAGCUAUGCAAAGCUUAAGACACGCUUGAGCUUAAGCACAAAGCAGAGCACAUGCUAGGAUGUUAUUUUGCACAUUUUUAACCACAUGCAACCAUCAUGAAUCAUGGGUCAACCACUAGUGUAAAAAAUAUACUCAAUUUCUAAAAAUAAAAUGGUCCUCAUAGAUAGUGGUAGUCAAAACUCAAAAGCAGAAAAAAGUUCUUUCCUGACUAUUAAGCCUCGAAAAUACUAAGAGACGUCCCAAGUCUAACAAAAUGAUUUGGCAAAACUCUAUGAGACAUAUUGGCAAAACACAAUUAUCCUUCAAAUCAUCAUGAUAAAAUAGAUCAAUCGAAUAAUAUACCAGUAAGUACUCGACUGCAGAUCAGCAAAAAUAAGAUCAUUAAGAUAGGUUUCACUCUUUCAGAUCCCCGUACCCAUCCCAGUCUUGGUGAUUAAUGCAAUUACCAAGAGCAAAUGCAAAAUAUUUCACAUUUCCAAUGUGUUGAAUUAUGAAUCUAUGCAUGAAUGUAGGUCAUAAACAAGAAAAUUGUAAGAAGAUGGAAUAUUACCUUGUGAUAUUCUGUGGAUUAAUGAGCAAGAAAAUGAAGGACGGUUGUACAUUUAACUCAAUUUUUUCACUGUAAUUAUUAUCUUUACUUUCGAACCUUCUAGUAACUCGUUGUAAGAGAUCAGCACCAUUUCAUUUCAACGGGUUUCACCAUACGUCAAAUAGAACUCUUUUAAGCCCUCCAAUAUGAAAAGAAUGCAGAGAAAAGAGAUGCAAACCUCAAAGCUGGAAAUGCAGUUGUAGCAACGAAACAUAAUUUUUUUCAUGUAAAGCUCCUUUUUCCCAAGUAAUGACAGAAUCAAGAUGGUGCAUGUAAGGCUGUAACACCCGAAAUUUACGUAAGAAUCUCAAGGGGGAUUUGGAAUGAAAGCUCAUAACAUUAAUCUUAUUUUUAUUCUAAAAAGAAAAUCAAUAUUAUCGAUGAUUGAAAGAUGAUCUCUAAAAUAAUAAAUAUAACAAUAAUCCUCCCAAAAAAAACUCUAAACAAUAAUUAAAAUAGCAACAAACGAUUUAUCAAGAUAACACCAAAGCUUUUUAUCUAACAAAUCGUCUUCUCUAAACCCAAAAGUCUACACCUCUAAAAUCAAUCUGUAAAAUGUUGGAGACGAUGGGUAAGUCGUCAACUUAGUAAGCAAACUCAUGAAUAAAGUUACUAAUAACAAUAAAAUACAUACUAAUCAUUACGAAGUACCAUAAAUUAGAAAAUCAAUAAUUACUUCAUAAUCUAAUACAUAUGUACGUUAACACCCAUAAUCAAUAAAAUUAUAACAUAAAUAAUCAUUUUUAAUAAAUAAUCAUUUAAGAAAUCAUUUAUUAAUAAAACAUUUUCAUUUGUUCAAUUGUUCAUGCUUGUACUCCCGGUGACUUGGCUAGUAGUUCAGUAAGUCAACUGCAUCCCCAGUGACCGAGUCAGUAGUUCAAUCAGAGUAUGUUACCCUACAAUAAUCAUCAAUAGGUGUGCACAAUAUAGUUAGUUGCUCAGUAAUAUCAGAAAUAGCAACUAUAGACAAUGAGCCAAAACCUUAGAUAUAAUUUUCAGUCUUUCAACAUUAAUCAUUUAAUAAUAGUUCAAUAAAACGCUCUUAUAAGGCAUUUAAUUGGCAAAGCUUUAAAAAUAUUUAAAAAUAAAAUAAUUUAUGGAAAGACAAUUAUUUUAAAGUCAAUUUUUAAAACAAUUAAAAAAACAUUUUAAAUAAGCUUUUAGUCAAAAUAUAAUUUGUUUGAGGGAAAUACUCCGACGAGACCAGACAUGAUGAGCAGAUGUUUGGUGGCAGAAGUCUGCGAGCAGGUGUGUCCUGUAAGAGCCAGGUAGCAGGGGAACAGGGGCAGGAAUAUCCUGCUCAUCCACGAGCACGUCAUCCGUGAGGCCAAUUUCCUGUAAGAAGCAUAAAGCCAUUCCUGCUGUAUUCUUGCUAAGGGUUGAUUCGAGGAGACUCGGUCAACGACAGUUGGCGAGGCAUGCUCUCCAGCCCGAGAAUCUAGGCACGAAGGCCACGCAACCACCCACGACUACGGAAAUGGGGAAUCCACGUUCGAGAGGUGGGAGGAUAACGGGCGUAGACUGCGGAGAACUGGGAUUCAGAGGAUGCCUAUAAAAAGGUAGCCAGCGAAGGUAAAAGGGUUAGACUUUUUGCUAUUAGAACUAAGAAAAGAAAGUUCCGAGAACUGAGAUUAAAAAGAAGCCAUAAGAUUCGUGGCAAACAUUCCCAGAACCGCUAUUUCUGACUUGAGCGUCGGAGGGUUUGCGCAGGGAAAACAACCGGCGUACUCUGACCUAUCUGUGUGCGUAGGAACCUCUGGAGAAGAAGCUUUAUGAGGAGAGAUCCUGGUCGUGGUGAAGUUGAUCGAGCAGAGACCCUGGUCGUAGAACGAGGACAACCAGAAUCUCGCAUCAAUAUUUUGGCGCCGUCUGUGGGGAGCUGAGCAAAAAGCUUCUAUUGAUAGCAAGAAGAGAAGGAAAGCAACUGAAAAGCAAUGGAGACAGGAGGAAGUAGUGCACAAAGGGGUGAUAUGAGGCUUAACGAUUCUGUGACACUGAGGGAGAUAGCUAGUGAAGCACGGGAAAAAGCCAUGUUCGACCGGAUGGAACGGAUGGAAAAGCAGAUGGAGACCUUGACAACCAUCCUGCAUGAGCUGCGGAGCGAACGAAGUGUAACCCAGGAGGAAAGGGUGAGAGGGGGUGGAGUGGCACCAGGUCCCGAUAGUGCAAGGAGAAGUCAAACCACCGGGAGAUUUGGUGGUGAAAGAGGUAACAUACCUCUGCGGGGAGAAUUGCAUAGAGAGGAAGAGCAGUACCCGGCAAGACAGAUUUUUGACGAGGACGACGGGGUGGCGAAUGUAGAGGAAACAGAGUUGAGGCAACACUUGCAUGAUGUAGUGCAAGAGCGGGAUCAAAUCGCAGCACGUGACCCUGGUCGUGCAGAGCAGCUGGAGGAGGAAGUGCGCAGGCUAGCGCAGAUAAUUGACGACAUACAAGGGAGGAGCAGAGCUCCUGGUUGGAGGAUAAUGCUGGACGGAGAAUCACCGCUCGCAGCAGAGAUCAUGAGGACAGUUAUUCCAAGAGAUUUCCGCCUCCCUGACCUUAGAUACUCGGGAAGAACUGAUCCGCUGGUACACAUAGAGCGCUUCAACGACAUAACUGGGGUACAAGGAUUAUCUCAAUCCCAAAGGUGCAGGGUGUUCCCACUAUCCCUUGAGGGACGUGCACGAGAGUGNNNNNNNNNNNNNNNNNNNNNNNNNNNNNNNNNNNNNNNNNNNNNNNNNNNNNNNNNNNNNNNNNNNNNNNNNNNNNNNNNNNNNNNNNNNNNNNNNNNNNNNNNNNNNNNNNNNNNNNNNNNNNNNNNNNNNNNNNNNNNNNNNNNNNNNNNNNNNNNNNNNNNNNNNNNNNNNNNNNNNNNNNNNNNNNNNNNNNNNNNNNNNNNNNNNNNNNNNNNNNNNNNNNNNNNNNNNNNNNNNNNGCAUGCCAUUGAAGUACCUGACAUUACGUUAUAAGGAACCCGCCGGGGGUCAAAUUCUUCAUGACUUGGUCCAUAUUCAUUGGUGUAAGCAGCAAUUAUAUCAACUCCAGGUGCAAUGACAUCAGGCUGAAAAAGGUAUUAAGAAACUAUCAAACUAAUGUGAUAGUAAAUUAUCCAAGAAUGCUUAUAUUUUGAACAGCUAAUAGAACUGAAAGUUUACUUCGCUGGUCAACCUUGAGGAUAGCUGGAUCGAUCGAAUUUGGUCCCCUAGCUGAGAAAAAAGAUGUCAUCCGAGAAGAGUUCUUAUUGAAUUCUGUGAUUGAAUUUGUCAUGGAUGCCACUGGGUUCCUGUCAUAUAACAAGUCUGGCGCAUGAGUUGCAAUUAACAUUGACAAUUUGAAGAGAGGAAAUUUUGAGAAACCGGAAAUAUGGAUUACUUGGUGUUGUAUAUGUAGGCAUAGACAGAUUGACCAUCCUUGUAAUUCACAUAUGCAGUAGGGAGAAAGUGAACCAUAUUUAAACUUAUGUUUUGAUCUUCUCGGCUGUUGGCCAAAAUCAUCCCAACAGCACCUGCUUGAGCAGCUUGCUGUCCCUUUGCAUCUCCAAGUUUAGCAUCAUAGCAGAUCAAGAUUUUCCCUUUAACUUUCUCAGGAUCAAUCGUUCCAUUCUUGCAUUGGGUACUGCGUAUGAUCAAUUCAAGUAAAUUACAAUCCUGGCUUUUGUUAACUGCUUAAACCAAAAGUCAGGACAAAUCAUUUGAAAAAUGAAAACACUUAUAUUUACAGGUCACCAAUUGUACUCACGCGUCCUCAUUCGAUACAUUAGCAACUUUGGCAGCUUCUCCAGCAAUCAAUGGAUAGAAAUCUUGAGUUAACGAUCCUUUCUCCGCAAUACUUGCUCCCUGACACGUCAAUGUGAUCAAUUAUAUAAUACUUUAUGUUCUACAACUAGCGAAUGAUAAAUUCUGAAAAUUUAGUAAAUUCUGAAAAUUCAGUUGAAGGGAAAAGAGUACCUUAAUAACCAUCUUGUUGCCAAGUGUAACAUAACUGGAAAACUCCCUGUCUGUUGUGCUAGCACCAACUGUGAGUACCCAUGGAGGCACAUUAUCCACGGUCUUUUCAGCUGGUCCUGAGUUGCCAGCGGAUGCAACCACAAGAAUGCCAUGCAUCAUAGCAUGAAAACUACCAACUGCAACUGAGCUCUCAAAAUGUUCCUUUGGUUUUGAACCCAGAGAAGCCGAAAUGAUAUCAACACCAUCGUGUAUCGCGACAUCAAAGCCAGCAAUGAUGUCUGCAGCAUUGCACAAAUUUGCUCCAUUUGGCUUCCAACAUACCUUGUAAGCAGCUAAACGGGCUUUGGGUGAUCCCCCUUUUGCUGUUCCAUAUCCCAUACCAUAAAGACUGACAUUAGAAACAAAGCUGCCACCAGCAGUUGACAGUGUGUGUGUGCCAUGGCCAUUGUGGUCUAUUGACGUGGUUAAGUUUUCAGGAACCAAAAAGCUGGAGUUCAUUGCACGACAACUUUCAAUUAAACCUUCGCUUAUGUACCUUAUUCCUAUCAGCUUCCUGCAUGUAGAACGCAAAUGCGAAACCAACUAAUUAGAAAGCGUGCCAGAGGCUUUUGAAGAUCAUUGAAAUAUGCUCGAAAUCGAAAACACAAUGUGGAUGAGAUAAAAGACCUAUUGCAAGUAAUUGCUUUAUUGGUGUCAUUUUGACAGGUUCCUUGCCACCUAUCUGGAAUUGGGCCCAUCCCUUCAUCCGUAAAACUCUGUGAUUCCGGCCAAACACCUUUUAGUAGUACAUGCCAUAAAAAUGAUUAGCAUUAAUGUAACAAACAAAUCCGGAAAAUAAGCAAACACUACAAGAGCAUUCCAAGUUACCUGAGUCAAGGUUUCCAAUAAUUACGUCUUCGCCAAACCGUGCCUUGUUCCAUGCUGAAUCCGGAGGAAUUUGAUUGUCUUUCUCUAAUCCAAGAAAUUCCCAUGAUCGUGUUGUGUGCAGAUCUAUUCCCUCUUCCAAAAAAACUGAUACAACUUCUGGGUGCCCUAUUUCCGAAAAAGAAAAAAUUACCAUUAAGAUGGAACAACAAACACAGAGAACUUAAAUAAAGUUUACACAACUAGACGGCUGACUUGCAAUCUGCUUUGCGUGUUCCUCUUCAAGGACUGCGCCGAAACCAUUGAUAUAUCGCCCGUAAGAGUGGAAGAUUAAGCCUGCUGCCUCCUCAACGCUGUUCAAAAAAAUUAUGUAAAAGAAAAUGUUGAUGCUAACUGAGCUAGGAAAAAGAAAAAAAUUCCAUUAGAGUUGUUUACGAAUCCUCCACCUUCCCAAGAAUGAUCCAAGAAAUUCAUGGUGUUUAAUUCUUGCUCGAUUGAUAUCAUGUGAGGUAGGAUUGCUACCAUGUGAAUGUGAUCCUAAGUAUACCACAUAAGGCUGCAAGAAAGAUUUUGAACCUUAUUAGCAUUGGAGUUUAUGGAUUUAGUUUUGCAUUUUUACUAGAUUUUCUUACAAUCAAAAUAAAGGCUUGCCUUUUUAGCAGUAAAAGCUGGAGUCUGCAACAGAGAGAGAAUAAAGAACAAUAGCAGCAGAACAAAACCAUUUGAGAGCCUCAUGAUUUAUGCUGGUAUUUUUUCUGCUGCUAUCUUCUCUCUCAAUACAGAGAACUAAAAUAAUUUCUUUCAGAAGAAAUACUUAUCGAGCCUCUGUUUUUUCUUUUUCCCAGGUUUAAAAUUACUCUGUUUUCCCUUUUUUUUUUAGGUGAGACUUGUGACAUUUGCUGGAAUCAAAAUUUUGAAUAAUUGGUUUUGGAGUCAAAAGUGAUUACGGGAAUGUUGUUGCCACUCAGGUAUUUGCUGUGUUUACUAAUUUCAGGAAACCGUGUUAUGCACAGAAAAUCAAGGGUCAAAAUUUAUUCGAAGAGUACCAGGGAUAGGAAUGAAGAAACAAACAUCAAAACAUCAAGAUAUUUUCUGUGUUACAGCUUAAUCAUUCCUUGAAAAAAAUGAGAUAUGUAUUUCGUAUCGAUGGCAAAGGCAAGUCUGGAACGUAUAAUAAACUUUUGAUUCUUUUAUCAUUUUUAUUUUUCUAACACUUAAUUUUGCACUAAAUUUAAACAAUGCUUAAUUAAAAUCCAAUAAACUCUCUUAUACCUUUUUUUUAUAAUUAUUGACUCAUUCAAACUUGAACGACCUGUAUUGUGUAACUGAUGAAACAAAUCAGAAAUGAUUUAAAAACGGCAGCAUAUAUUGCGUUUUGAAGUUACUCAAGCCAAAACAACAGAAGAUGCAUCGUUUUAAUGAGUGUUGAUAUUACUUGUUAAAAAGAUAUGUCAAGUUGCCGUUUCAUUUAAGCCGUUAUUGUUGAAAACUUAGAAGGACUGAAUUGCUCAAAACUGAAACCAUUUGAGCAAUAGAAUAAUUUUGUUAAAUUAAAGAAUUUUAUUUAUAUUUUACAAGAGACACUACAACGCUCACAGCUCACACUUCUUAUUUUUCUCUCUCAUUCUUCACUUCUCAUUUGAUGCCUAUAACAAAGAGUUUAGGGCAUUUAUAGUAACCUAGAACUAGUACAAACCACUCAAAUAUAAAGUUACAAAAAAUUAACACAUUUUACAAAUAUCACUAAAUAUUCAAGAGUUUUCUAGAUUUAGAUAUUUUCACCUUCAUUAGAUUUUUUUUUUUUUAGAUUGAAGUCAUCUCUCAUUCUCCACACAAUUCUUGAAACUUCCAUGGAUUGAGUUUUGAAAUUGAGCUUGGACAAGUAUAAUUGGAUUGGAUUAUAAAAUUGGUGUUGAACUUUUAACACUCCCCCUCAACACUAACUAUCAUCUUUCGAUCCACAUUGAGUUGUUGGUGGAACUCUUCAAACUUUUCGGUACUAAGAAUUUUUGUAAACAAAUCAGUAUCUUAAUCGUUUGUCUUGACGUACUUCAUCUCAACUUCACCUUGUAAAACCUUUUCCCCAAUGAUGUGAUACUAGACCCCUAUAUGUGUAGUUCUUGCAUGGAAAAUUGGAUUUCUGCUGUACCGUACAUCCGCCUUGGCCGUACAGCAGGCGAAAGGAACGUGGGCUAAGAAAAAUAUAUUGAAAUUAUUUAUAGAUUUAUAACUACCAGUAGUCAUGAUUGCAGAUUUGAUAGCCGCUGGACUCCAGUCAGGGUGUAGAGUUUUGAGAAGGCCAGCAAUACCAGAAAUAUGGGGGGUUGACAUUGAAGUGCCGAAACACGCAUUGAAAGGAAUUCUGCGAUCAUCGCUUGGACUCUUACUUGGAGCUACUGCUUCAGAGUAGGCGGCAAUUAUUUCAACUCCAGGUGCAGUGAUAUCAGGCUGAAAUUGGAUAUUAAAAAUUUACAAAAUGUUCCAAUAUGAAGUUAAUUACCAAAGAAUGUUACUUUUAUUAGAACUAAAAGAUGAAUGAUGGUUUAGUUCUUUUGUCAACCUUGAUGAUAUUGGGAUUAAUAGUAGAUGGUCCCCUGGAUGAGAAGAAAGUCAUUUGUGGAGAUGGCUUCGUAUUGAAUUCUGUCUUUACAUCACUGACGGAUGCUACCGGGUUCCUGUCGGACAGUAAUGUUAAGCAACAGGAUGCAUAUCCGUAAAAUUGAAUUCUUAGUAAAUUGGAAUUAUUCGUGAAAAGAAGGGAAGUGAAAAGGGUAAGUGAGGUACUUGAUCGAGUUGUUGUAGGCUAUGAUAGAUUGAGCAUCAUCGAAUUCAACUAAUGAAGUCGGAAGGUGGUAAGGCAAGGGCAGAGAUUCAUUUUCCAGCUGUUUGGGGUUGACUAAGAUCAACCCCGCAGCACCAGCUUGAGCAGCCAGCUGGCUCUUAUCAAUUCCGUGUGUGUGGUUCAUGCACAGCAAGAUUUUCCCAUUAAUCUUUUUUGGAUCAAUCGCUCCUGGGUUGCAUUCUAAGCUGCAAGAGGUUCAAGCAUUGGCUUUUGUCACAAAUAUAUCGCUCUCACAUUAGAAUUUAAGCCGCUCAUACAUAUAUAUCAUUAAAAGGACAUUACAAAACGGAAAUCUUUAAUACUGACAAUUCACUGGAUUUACUUGCCUAUCAUAGAGUGCUGCGUUAGUGGCCCUUGCAUUAUCUCCUGUAAUCAAUGAGUACAACGUUUGUGUUGCAACGCCUUUAGCCGCAAUGCUUUUUCCCUGGCAAACCAAUAUAGUGAAAUUGCCUCGCAUGUUAUUUUCACAGCCAUAUCAGAAGAGACUGGUGAACUAGUUUUAUUAGUUUUCAAACUUCAUUUACACUCUGACCUGUUAUAUAUGAUUCAGAACAAAUUUGCCAUAGCAACUUCACCUAGGUUGAGUUUGCAGAAUUUAUAAAUUUAACACGAAGGAGAUCAAUUUGAAAUGAAAAAUGGCCAAAUAGCAAAAAUUAGGGAAUACCUUGAAGAUCUGCUCGUCUCCAAGGGUAACAUAGCUAGUGAACUCUCUGUCCAUUGUGCUAGCACCAACCGUCAAUAACCAUGGUGCCAAAUUUACAACAGUAUCUGGUUUCGGUCCUUCAUUCCCAGCGGCUGCAACCACAAGAAUACCAUGCAUCAUAGCAUGAAAGGAACCAAUAGCAAUGGCAUCUUUAAAAUACUCGGUAUUUUUGUGACUAGGUUCGCCUAGUGAAACGGACAAUACAUCAACACCAUCAUGUAUCGCAUCAUCAAAAGCAGAUAAGAUGUCAGAAUCACGGCAAUCUAGUGGUUGACCAUUAACGUUCCAGCAAGACUUAUAAGAAGCCAAACGGGCCCUAGGAGAUCCUCCUUUUGCUGUUCCGUACCCAUUACCAAAAACACUCACGUUAGCUACAACGUUACCAACAGCCGUUGAUGCAGCAUGUGUGCCGUGGCCAUCAAGGUCUCGAGCCGUGGAAUGUUCGGGAGUCGGAUAAAAAGAUGAAUUUUGUGCACGAGCAUGUUCAAUUUGACCUUGGUUGUAGUACCUCAUUCCUAUUAGCUUUCUGUACACAACGUCCAACAUAUUGGAAAACUCAGAUACAAAAGAUUAUGUUCAUUUCAGAGAAUGGUAGAAAGUGUAAAGACCUAUUGCAUUGAAAUCCAUAAUGGGUGUCAUUCUGACAAAUUCCUCGCCAUCUUGAAGGCACCGGACCCAUUCCUUCAUCACUAAAGCUCUUCGAUUCCGGCCAAACACCUUUCAAUAUACCAUGAAUAUACAACAAGAGAUAUCAAGUCCAACAGUUAUUGAUAGAAGUAAUAGGGACAAAAUGAACACAAUUUAUUGAAUUUAUGUAAAAUUAAGGAUGUUGAACCAAAACAGACCAGAGUCAAUAACUCCAAUAAUAACAUCUUCACCAAACCGUCCCUUGUUCCAUGCUGAAUUUUGGGAAAUUACGUUAUCUUUCUCUAAUCCAAGAAAAUCCCAAGACCGAGUUGUUUGAACUUUUCUUCCUUCAUCCAAGAAAAUUGAUAGAACUUCUGGAUGCUCUAGAUAAAAAAAAAAAAAAAUACAACAUCCAUUUAUGAAAGAAAUACAGCGAUUGCAGAAUCAGAAAUUGGUAAAUUUGAAACGCUAACUUGCAAGUUGUUGGGCAUGUUCCUCUUCGAGAAUAGCAGCAAAGCCAUUGAUAUGCCGGCCGUAGGAGCAAGAGAUUGAAUCUCUUGCCUUCUUAACACUGUUGUUAAAAAUAACAAAGCUCAAAAGAGUUAAUGAUGUUGAGUAUAUCAGCAAAACCACAUAAUUGGUUAGGAAGCUUUUACCUUCCGAAGAAUGAUCCAAGAAAAUUGUGGUGAUGAUUUCUUGCACGAUUGAUAUCAUCAGCUGUGGGAUUUUUACCAUGUGAAUGUGUUCCUAAAUAAACUAUAUAAGACUGCAAGAUUUACAAACGUGAAAUUAAUGUACGGUUAAUGCUCAAUUAAAGCACAUUAUUCCAAAAAAAAAUUAAUAACAUGUAACUACAUUGCAAUUGGAAAAGGAAAAUAAUAAUAAUAAUAAUAAAAGACAUAAAAAUAGCUGGUAAGGCUUACCUUUUUGGCUGCAAAAGUUGGUGUUAGCAAAAGAGAGAACAAUACCAGGACAUACAAAUUUGAAACCCCCAUGGUUUCUGAUUUGAAAUAUAAGCCUGGUAUUUUCUCUUCCAAGAGAAGUUCUCUUGAAGAGAUGCGUAUGAGAACUCUGUCUUGCACAGGUUCUAUCAGUCUGUUUCUUCCGUUUGACAUGCGUCAUUUUCGUUGUCCGGAGUUGAAGUUUUUUAUGACCACAAUUUCAGGUUGGAUUGACUAUAUUGAGUGAGACCCUCCCGUAAGAAUCAAUCACGUCCUGUAUGUUUGGCUUAAAUACAAUAUGUAUCCAAUUAAUUUGAAAAUUAUAAUGAAAACACUGUAUAUAAUUCUUUUUUAAAGCUAGAGUGGUAGGCAAAGGCCAAAUCAAAUUUUUAAGCAUUAAUUAGUUAAGAGGGUGCUUGAAUAAGAAAAUCUAACAUUAAAAAAUUAAAUCUUUAAACUCUUAUUUGUUCCUUUUUCUUUAUUUAUUAUUUUAUUUUGAAAUGUUUAUUUUCUUUAGUUUAUUAUUACUUAUAAUAACUUAUUGGUUUUUAACUCAUUUCAAGUUUACAAUAAUUAAAAAAUUUAAAAAAUAGAUGAAAGUCCAGGCCCGACCCCGCAAUGGACCUAGCCCAAGCGUGGCCCUUAUGCUUCGAACCCUAAGCCCAAACCUACAUUGUGCCAUUAGGGAUGGCAAUGGGGAGGGGAGGGGAGGGGACCGAUCUCCCCGUAUCCAUCCCCGAUAUUUUGCGAAUGUCCCCAUCAGAAUUACUUGAGAGAAUCCUCAUCCCCUCCCCGAAUUAUAACAUGGGAUCCCCAAGGGUCCCCGAUCCCCGAAUAACUAAUACAAUUUUUAUUUUCGAUUUUGAGUUAAUCAUAUUAAAAUAAAAAAUUCAAAUAAAAGUAAAGUUUGAAAUAUAUCUUACAUUAAUAUCCAUUACAAAAGUCACAUAUAUUAAAUUAGUAAGUAACACAGCAUGUAAGGGAUACAAACUUCUUUUACAAACUAUCGUGAAUAAAUUAAUAGUCUUGUUUGAGGGAAAUACUCCGACGAGACCAGACGUGAUGAGCAGAUGUUUGGUGGCAGAAGUCUGUGAGCAGGUGUGUCCUGUAAGAGCCAGGUAGCAGGGAAACAGGGGCAGGAAUAUCCUGCUCAUCCACGAGCACGUCAUCCGCGAGACCAAUUUCCCGUUAGAGGCAUAAGGCCAUUCCUGCUAGGGGUCGAGGCGAGGAGACCCGGUCAACGACAGUUGGCAAGACGUGCGUUCCUAUCCGAGAAUCAAGGCACGAAGUCCAUCUCCAUUCGCCCACAAUGACGACAAUGGGGCAUCCACAUCCGAGGGUGGGGAGAAUAAUGGGCGUGGACUACGGAAGACCGGGAUCAAAGGAAGCCUAUAAAAAAGUAGCCAGCGAAGGUAAAAUGGUUAGAAUUUUUGCUAUUAGAACUGAGAAAAGAGAACUCUAAGAACUGAGAUUAAAAAGAAGCCAUAAGAUUCGUGGCAAACAUUCCCAGAACCGCUAUUUCUGACUUGAGCGUCGGAGGGUUUGCGCAGGGAAAACAACCGGCGUACUCUGACCUAUCUGUGUGCGUAGGAACCUCUGGAGAAGAAGCUUUAUGAGGAGAGAUCCUGGUCGUGGUGAAGUUGAUCGAGCAGAGACCCUGGUCGUAGAACGAGGACAACCAGAAUCUCGCAUCAAUAUUUUGGCGCCGUCUGUGGGGAGCUGAGCAAAAAGCUUCUGUUGAUAGCAAGAAGAGGAGUGAAGCAAGUUAAAAGCAAUGGAGACAGGAGGAAGUAGUGCACAAAGGGGUGAUAUGAGGCUUAACGAUUCUGUGACACUGAGGGAGAUAGCUAGUGAAGCACGGGAAAAAGCCAUGUUCGACCGGAUGGAACGGAUGGAAAAGCAGAUGGAGACCUUGACAACCAUCCUGCAUGAGCUGCGGAGCGAACGAAGUGUAACCCAGGAGGAAAGGGUGAGAGGGGGUGGAGUGGCACCAGGUCCCGAUAGUGCAAGGAGAAGUCAAACCACCGGGAGAUUUGGUGGUGAAAGAGGUAACAUACCUCUGCGGGGAGAAUUGCAUAGAGAGGAAGAGCAGUACCCGGCAAGACAGAUUUUUGACGAGGACGACGGGGUGGCGAAUGUAGAGGAAACAGAGUUGAGGCAACACUUGCAUGAUGUAGUGCAAGAGCGGGAUCAAAUCGCAGCACGUGACCCUGGUCGUGCAGAGCAGCUGGAGGAGGAAGUGCGCAGGCUAGCGCAGAUAAUUGACGACAUACAAGGGAGGAGCAGAGCUCCUGGUUGGAGGAUAAUGCUGGACGGAGAAUCACCGCUCGCAGCAGAGAUCAUGAGGACAGUUAUUCCAAGAGAUUUCCGCCUCCCUGACCUUAGAUACUCGGGAAGAACUGAUCCGCUGGUACACAUAGAGCGCUUCAACGACAUAACUGGGGUACAAGGAUUAUCUCAAUCCCAAAGGUGCAGGGUGUUCCCACUAUCCCUUGAGGGACGUGCACGAGAGUGAUACAGGAAACUUCCUCGGGGCAGCAUUAAAACCUUCGAGCAGAUGUGCCAGGAAUUUGUAGAGCAGUUUAGUGGGGCAAUGGCACCAGAAGAUGACAUAAUGGAGCUGAAAAGCAUGAAACAAGGGGAGCAAGAAACCCUUCGGGAAUUCAUCAAGAGGUUUCAUCGUGCUGUCCUCGACUUGGGAGCCUUCAACCAUCCUCAGGCGUUAAGGGGAUUGAAAGAAUGGGUGAAGAUAGGAAGGCUGUGGUACAACUUGAAAAGCCCAGUUAUUCAGACGUAUGCGGCCGCAUAUGAGUAGGCUAAAAGAGACAUUGAGAUUGAAGAUGAGAAGGCAGCACGGAUUAAGACAGACCAGUUAGAAGAGUGGGGGAGGAAAGAAAAGAAAGCAUUACCGGGGAAUCGGCCGAUCAGGAGGAGGGACCACCAGGCCUCGGGUAAUGGAGCAGGAGGUCGGGUAACUGCUUACCAGCCUCAUCAGAGGCCACCACAGUAUCAGCACAGCAGGGCGCAACCUCCUCGUUCCCCAGCUGGGGAGCCUUGGAGAAGGCAUGACUCGACGUAACAAAGCUACCCAGCAGGAGGGAUAGGGGACGCUAUUGUAAGUUCCAUGGCACUCAUGGCCACACCACAGUAGAUUGCAGGGAUCUCAAGACCUAGGUUGAAGAUUUGGUGAGAAAUCGGUAUUUGGAUGAGUUUAUAGAUGGGACCUUCCCAAUGGUAGCCUCGACAAGCGAAGGGGAGCAGAAUGACAGGAACUUGAGGCGCGAUCAGCCUGCAGUAAGGGUGAUAGAUGGGGGCCCAACAUUGGCCGGAGAUUCCAACAGGUCAAGGAUGAAUUAUGCUAGAUAUGCCAUGACCAGCAAAGAUGUAUUCUUCAACACCCCAGCAGCCAAACGUGCAAGAGUCAGGCAAGUGCCAAUCAUGUGGACAGAUGAGGAUGAAGAAGGGAUUCUAUACCCCCACGAGGAUGCUUUGGUCAUCAAGGCCACUGUUGCCAGCAAGAAAUUUGACAGGAUACUGGUUGACAUAGGGAGCUCAGUUGAUGUGUUGUUUAAGUCAACCCUGGAGGAGAUGGGAAUAGCAGACCUAAAGUUGGAUUACACCAAUACCUCAUUGAAGUGGUUUGGAGGAGGAAAGUUGGUCCCUCUGGGCGUGGUCGAGCUGCCUAUCACGAUUGGGAGCUCCCUGACAUAAAGGACAAUGAUACUGGACUUUGUGGUAGUGGAUGAGGAAGGUCCUUAUCAGAUGAUCCGAGGCCGGCCAUUUCUGAGGAUGAGCAAAGCGAUGCUGUCCAACCAUUAUCUGGCUCUCAAGUAUCGGAUGAAUGGGGUAGUUGGAGUGGUACGAGGAGACCAGAGAAUCGCACGAAGCUGUUACUCCUCGGCAGCAAAGGAAGCAAUGCAGAUAACAUCCCUUGAUACCCGAGUGGAAGCCAGGAAUGGCAGCUAGUUGGACCCGGAGUUUACAAGUUGGUUCGCACGGAGGGCCACGAGGUGAAACGCCCCUGGAGCGCGGCACACCUCAGGAAAUAUUUCAAAUAGACUUACUCAUGUUUUAAAUUUUUUUUUUGUUCGUGUCCGUUGUUUUCUAUUUUUUAUUUCUUAUUUCAAAGCAACCUCAUGUAAGCCGAAUUCAAUAAUAAAUGAAUCAAUGAGGAGUUUCAGUCAACUACACUGUUCAAGAAAUUAUCAAAGGCAUGCAAAGGCUCACCAAGUCUCAAAGCCUGUUUAUGGCGAGACCAGAAGCCAAGCGUGCCAGGAUCUGCUCGACCACGAGAAGGCGAGCAGAAUCCCAAGCUUUCCAGAAAUUAUCAAAGGCAUGCGAAGGCUCACCAAGUCCCAAAGCCUGUUUAUGGCGAGACUAGAAGCCAAGCGUGCCAAGAUUUGCUUGACUGAGUUUCAGUUAACUACACUGUUCAAGAAAUUAUCAAAGGCAUGCAAAGGCUCACCAAGUCUCAAAGCCUGUUUAUGGCGAGACCAGAAGCCAAGCGUGCAGGAUCUGCUCGACCACGAGAAGGCGAGCAGAAUCCUAAGCUUUCCAGAAAUUAACUAAGGCAUGCAAAGGCUCGUCGAGUCUCAAAGCCUGUUUAUGGCGAGAACAGAAGUCAAGUGUUCCAGGAUCUGCUCGACCACGCGAAGGUGAGCAGAAUCCCAAUCAUUGAAGAAAUUAUCCAAGACAGGCAAAGGCUCGUCAAACUUCAAGGCCUCCUCUGUGACGAGGACAUAAGCCAAAUAGAUAAAUAAAUUAAAAUUCCAAUGCGAGGAAGCAAAUAAGAACAAUCUUAUUAAGCUCUUAAAAGUUUACAAAGUUGUUAUAUAGAAUAUUCAAAAAGCAAUUACAGCACAAGAUAAGUUCAAGAAGAUGGCGGAUCAGUAUGCCGAGCAGCAUCGAUUGGCUGGACCUCCUCAGGUGCAUGAGGGGUAUCACCAGUUGCGUCCAGGGGGGUGCUCGCUGUUGUGCAAAUUUUAAUGUACUCGCAAGCGCACGAAUCUAUUGUAGUGUAGAUCAAUGGUGACGAGUGUCGAUCCCACGAGGAGGAGGAUUUUAAUUGUGUAUAGAAUUAAUUUUGCAAAAUGGGUGGUUGGAAUUAUGGUGGAAGUGAUUUAAGUUAUCCUAAAAUUGGAAUUGAAAUUGCGAUAAUAAAUUCUAAAAUUGGAAUUGCAAUGGCGAGAAUAAGUUGAAGCGAAAUCUAUUGAAAUGACGUACUUGGGUAUCUGGAUCCGUAUCAACAUGCAUCAUGGGCUAAAUAAUCCGUAUUAAUGCCAAUUAAAUCAUGAGGGGGGAAUCCACACCUCAUGAACCACGCUCUAAUCAAUAUGGUGCUAAGGGCUUAUCGUGCCAAAUAAUAAUAACCUUAUACUAGAGAGCCGGUGUAACCAAGGCGGUACUAGACAAGAUUAGUAUUAUUUGUCGACGAGAAGUCAAAACACCCACAAAAACUAGAGGGGAAGAGAAAAUAAAUUUACCAAAUAAAGCCCAUGACACAUGUUGAGACUUCACCUCUGCUGUACCGUACAUCCGCCUUGGCCGUACAGCAGUUUUUUUUUCUUUUUUUUUUAAUUUUACCAUAUAUUUUUUUUUAAAGGGUUAACUUAAAAGAAAUCUAGAGAUCGUGUAUAAAAUAAUAAACUGCUAAGCUGUAUAGACAAUGGGCAAAAGGGUUACUCNNNNNNNNNNNNNNNNNNNNNNNNNNNNNNNNNNNNNNNNNNNNNNNNNNNNNNNNNNNNNNNNNNNNNNNNNNNNNNNNNNNNNNNNNNNNNNNNNNNNNNNNNNNNNNNNNNNNNNNNNNNNNNNNNNNNNNNNNNNNNNNNNNNNNNNNNNNNNNNNNNNNNNNNNNNNNNNNNNNNNNNNNNNNNNNNNNNNNNNNNNNNNNNNNNNNNNNNNNNNNNNNNNNNNNNNNNNNNNNNNNNNNNNNNNNNNNNNNNNNNNNNNNNNNNNNNNNNNNNNNNNNNNNNNNNNNNNNNNNNNNNNNNNNNNNNNNNNNNNNNNNNNNNNNNNNNNNNNNNNNNNNNNNNNNNNNNNNNNNNNNNNNNNNNNNNNNNNNNNNNNNNNNNNNNNNNNNNNNNNNNNNNNNNNNNNNNNNNNNNNNNNNNNNNNNNNNNNNNNNNNNNNNNNNNNNNNNNNNNNNNNNNNNNNNNNNNNNNNNNNNNNNNNNNNNNNNNNNNNNNNNNNNNNNNNNNNNNNNNNNNNNNNNNNNNNNNNNNNNNNNNNNNNNNNNNNNNNNNNNNNNNNNNNNNNNNNNNNNNNNNNNNNNNNNNNNNNNNNNNNNNNNNNNNNNNNNNNNNNNNNNNNNNNNNNNNNNNNNNNNNNNNNNNNNNNNNNNNNNNNNNNNNNNNNNNNNNNNNNNNNNNNNNNNNNNNNNNNNNNNNNNNNNNNNNNNNNNNNNNNNNNNNNNNNNNNNNNNNNNNNNNNNNNNNNNNNNNNNNNNNNNNNNNNNNNNNNNNNNNNNNNNNNNNNNNNNNNNNNNNNNNNNNNNNNNNNNNNNNNNNNNNNNNNNNNNNNNNNNNNNNNNNNNNNNNNNNNNNNNNNNNNNNNNNNNNNNNNNNNNNNNNNNNNNNNNNNNNNNNNNNNNNNNNNNNNNNNNNNNNNNNNNNNNNNNNNNUCUGCUGUACCGUACAUCCGCCUUGGCCGUACAGCAGUAAAGAAGUGAUAUCACAUGCUCUCACCAAGAUGAAAUAAAUAUGCCCUCAGCUUAGAAAUAAUACGAUCUCAAGUCAAAUAAAAUGUUAGUCAACCCACUUUAUUUAUCUUUUUUUUUUAUUAAUUUUACCAUACCUCCUUGAAGGGGUUUGGAGGAGGAAAGUUGGUCCCUCUAGGCGUGGUCGAGCUGCCUAUCACGAUUGGGAGCUCCCUGACAGAAAGGACAAUGAUACUGGACUUUGUGGUANNNNNNNNNNNNNNNNNNNNNNNNNNNNNNNNNNNNNNNNNNNNNNNNNNNNNNNNNNNNNNNNNNNNNNNNNNNNNNNNNNNNNNNNNNNNNNNNNNNNAGCUAUCCAGAUACAGGGUAACGUAUCCCCUAGGAGGCCGGUUAGGAGUAUCCUUCUUUCCUGGGACCUUGAGAGGUAUCUCACCAGGAAUGCUAUACCUAAGCCGGAGGUCACUGAGGUCGUGCACGUCAUGUAAUCAAUGGCAUAAUCACGCGACAAGGCUCUACCUCCUACUGUAGCCCGUUCUUCUGGUCGUGAUGUUCCAGAUGGAGACACCUCACCAGAGUCACCUUCUUCAUUCUCACUUAAGGUGUCCUCAGAGCCAGAAGGUCCCUCCUCACCAUUGUUUCCGCUCGUGGAGGUUGUUUGGGGGGACAUCCUCCUAGCACUAGUCCCGACACUAAACCUAAUGGGUUCUAAGGGGAUCCCGGGGUCAAAAGCAGGAUCAGUGAGCAGACCAGGCAAGAAACCUAGUUCGUCGUCAUCAAUCUCAACGACUUUCUCCCUACCCUUCGACAUUCCCUAGGUAAUAACCAAAACACCACCACCAACUACUACCCCAAGCAAAACAAAGAAAAAAGAAGUUUUCUACAAACUAUCCGAGACCGAGGAAAAAGAAGUAAUACCUGAAGUACUGUUUCAGUCGGAGAAAGGCAAUGAUGGGGGCUUUUAUGCCGAAACUUCUUCGCCGGAAAGACAUGGACAGAGACGGUGGAAAUGGCUAAUUUCCCUUCGAGAGGUUUUGCUUCGCCGGAGAGACAUGGACAGAGACGGUGGAAAUGGCUAAUUUCCCUUCGAGAGGUUUUGGGUUACCUUAUUGGAAGAAAAACCCUUGGAUAGCCAGCAUUUAACAGCAUCGAAUCCUGAGGGUCUCGUAACCGUCGGUUUGAAAUUCAAAAUGGAGGGGUGGAUCUCUGCCACAUCACCUAAUCCGCAAUUAAAUGCGACACGACUCUUGACAGCCUUUUCCAGUCCCACGCGACCAAGAACCGCUAAGUUUCUACUAUUGGUCCAUUACAUUACCCAACACCAGAAACUGGGGGACCGGUGUUUGAGGGAAAUACUCCGACGAGACCAGACGUGAUGAGCAGAUGUUUGGUGGCAGAAGUCUGCGAACAGGUGUGUCCUGUAAGAGCCAGGUAGCAGGGGAACAGGGGCAGGAAUAUCCUGCUCAUCCACGAGCACGUCAUCCGCGAGGCCAAUUUCCUGUAAGAAGCAUAAAGUCAUUCCUGCUGUAUUCUUGCUAAGGGUUGAUUCGAGGAGACCCGGUCAACGACAGUUGGCGAGGCAUGCUCUCCAGCCCGAGAAUCUAGGCACGAGGAAGCCUAUAAAAAGGUAGCCAGCGAAGGUAAAAGGGUUAGACUUUUUGCUAUUAGAACUAAGAAAAGAAAGUUCCGAGAACUGAGAUUAAAAAGAAGCCAUAAGAUUCGUGGCAAACAUUCACAGAACCGCUAUUUCUGACUUGAGCGUCGGAGGGUUUGCGCCGGGAAAACAACCGGCGUACUCUGACCUGUCUGUGUGCGCAGGAACCUCUGGAGAAGAAGCUUUACGAGGAGAGAUCCUGGUCGUGGUGAAGUUGAUCGAGCAGAACCCUGGUCGUAGAACGAGGACAACCAGAAUCUCGCAUCAACAUAAUUUAUUAUCAUAAGUUAUAAGAGUAGAAUAACUCCAAAACCAUAUAAUGUCAAUCCAUAUUAACAAUAUUAUUAUUUUCCUAGAUAUUUACAUAUAUAACUAUAUUCAACAUUAUGCAUAACUUCACUUACCUUGAUUCGAAGCAAUCAAUAAUAACCCCAAUCACAUGAGCUCACUUUUGGCCUAUAAUUAUCAAGAUAAGAUAUUUAUCAACAUUCUAUUCGAUUAUGACUUUGAUAAGAAAACCCAAAAAUCCUUAAACCAUUUACUCAAGCAUAUCAAUUCACUAAACUACACUAGACUAUCUUACAAGAGCUGAUUUCUAAUAAGAUAUAACUAUAUCGUAAAAAUCACAUAUAUUACAAAAAGCUACUGUGCACAUGUUGGCAUUCAAUAUAAAAUUUAACAAGAUUAAUCAGAGUUCACAAACAUCUCUGAAAACUUAUUUUCCACCAAAAAAAAAAUAAUCAAAAUUGUCCAGUGACAAUAUGAACAUAGGACUACUGAUUCGAAAAUUCAUUACUUUAGUUAUGCAUGUUUAAAAAUAGUGAUUCAAAUUUUGAUGAUCAGAGGAGACAAUAGGGAAUCUGAAUUAAAAUUUGUAAGGCAUUUAUUCAUGAACUUAAAUAUCAACCCCUGCAAUUCUGCAAGACAAUUUCUAAGAUUGCAGCAGUCCAACUCUAUGAUCUUUUUUAUGAUUUUUAUAUAAAGCCAAAAAAUUAUGAAUUUAAAUAUGUAGAAACUAGAUAUAUGUACAUAGAAUACUAAAAAUUCUUAGAAUUUUGAGAAAUCAUUUAAAUUACGAAAUAAAUUAGAGAUAUAGGAAUUGCUGCUGAAGUCUGAAGAUCAUAAUUUUCUAGCACCAGUGUUUCAAAUUCAAAAAAUCAAAACAAUUAAUAUAGAGUUUUUGCAAUGGCCAAAAUUUCCGGGAUAUAUUCGAAAGGCAAUCAUUAAAUUCUUUUAAAAAAAAAAUUUGAGUCAUUUGCCGAUAUAAAGAUGCAUAUAUAAAUAACAAUGCUUACUUGUGGAGAGCAGCAAGCCGGACAAGCUCAAAUGAGUUGAGAGAUUGUAAAAAUUGGAUUACUUGAUUGGUUUUACAAACACUAAAAAAGAAUAUUCAAUGACUUUUAGUCAACUUUGCUUCGUCGCUAUUUGGCUAUCUGGGUAAAUUAUAAAAGAUAAAAUAAGAGACAAGAGUUAUAUAAUUGGCAGCACCGAUAUUCUCACACCAAUAAGCACUACAGUUAGCACAAAACGGUUCGUACACUCUUAAAUGACACAGCAAAUGGCAGAUGUAUGAAUAACGAAAUCAUUUCUAGAAAUGAAUACUACUGUGGCGAGAAAAUGCCUUACUUCAUCAUAAGGUCCUUGCUUUGUUGCAAACCCACAUCGAUAAACACCAUUGUUUAUCCCAUUGUAUAUCCAUUCAUUAGUCCCAUCAAUUUGAUCUCGCUGAUCAGAUGGAUGCAGAUCCAGAGAAGCAUUUUCAGCUAUAUCAUUGAAUUCCGUAUUAAACAUGCGGAUUAUCUCCGCACUCUCAUUAUUAACAAUCGUCUUCAACUUCUUAUCCCACAGUACCUAGUAUAGAACAAAACCACUCAAGUAAGUUAGCACAUGCAAACAUAGAGAGCAAUAUUCAAAUGGAGAUCACUAGUUAAGUGAACAUACAGGGACAGUGAACUUCCUUGAGUAGUUUGUACUUGCGAGCUCAUACAGGCCUCCUAUAGUUUUGGCUCCAUUCAAGGGGUCAGGCUCAGCUCCUGGUUCCUCAGUAUCCGUCGCCGGAAAAACCCAUCCCCUAUGCUCAUCGGUUUCUUUUGUUCGUUCCCAAAUUGGUUACCAUUUCUCAGAUCAAAGGCAUAAUCCCUUUAUAUUUUCCCUUAAAAUAAUUCACUGAACACUAAAGUUUGUCGUAAUAUCUUACAAUGAGUAAGUAAUAUGUAUCACAGUAUACACUAAACGAUAUAAAGUUAUAAACUAUGAUUUGUGGUGAAAUGAUCUAUUCUUAUGUACGAAUUAUACGAAACAUUUUGAUAUAAUCGUCCAAAUUAUAGUAAAAAAAGAAACGCUAGCUUUUGAGGUAACCUAAGAAGUGUCUUGCCGGUUAACUUUCACUACCUAUUUUUCACCUAAUCUUUAGCUCCCUUUUCCUCUCCGACACAUACCCUCAAAUAUAUAGGGGGGUGGGGGAACAUUUUGUUUGUUAUUUUUUAUUUAAACUGGUAGGUUUUUAACCUAAAAUGUUAUAAAUUUUUGGUUUGAGUAAUUAUUUCAUUACUAUGGUACCAAAACAUCCCUAAUAUAUGUGUGUAUAUUUGCUAAUUACUAUGAAAGCUCUAGACAUAAAAUAAAAUAUAAAAAAAGAAAAGAAAAGAAAACUUGAAAAGGCCAGAACAUACAUUAUCCAUCAUAAAUCUUGCCCAAGCCUAAUACAAACUUUGUUUUAAGAAAUCAAUUUACAUUUUAGCAUAGAAAUCAUUAAUUUACAUCUUUAAUUUCUGCUGAAAAAUCAUGAAUAUCUUUCAUUAACCUUUAUUUUCAUUUCAAAGUUUGAAAUUUUUUUUUUUUAAUAAAGGCAUUAGAUAAAAUUAUAAAUAUUUUUAAAUAAAUUCAUCGACACCUCUUUUUCUUAUCUUAAGGUGGAGCGUUAUUUAAAUCUCUCCAACAUGUAAUUGUGAAAAAUGAGCUUCUACAAUUUUAUAUAUUGCGUUUCUCUUUAUAUAUUUAUAUAUUUAUAUAUUUAUAUAUUUAUAUUUAUAUUUAUAUUUAUAUGGACUUUUGCAUUAAAUUUUAGUUGUGAUUUAUACUUACCCUCAUAGUUAUAUUGUACACAAUAUAUAAAAAGAAAAAAGGAAAUUUAAAUUUUGACAAAGUGCCAUUUUGUUAUAUAAAUUUUACUAGAUAAUAAGAGAAAGUACAUAUGCUUAAUUUUUUUUUUAAAAUUUCGGAAAUACAUAUACUUUGCAUUCGGGUUUUGUGCAAACUAUAUAUGUGAUAAAAAAAUUUGGUCAUCAACAUCAGAUAACAUUAGAACAUCACUCUUUUUUUAUUAUUAUUAUUAAAUUUUAUUAACUUUAUUAUUUUAGUUAUUAUUAAUUAUUUGUAUUAUUAUUUUUAUUAAUAUUAUCAUUAUUAUCAUUUAUUAUUAUUAAUUUUAUUUUUUUAAUUAAAAUUAUUUUUAUAAUAAUAUUUACACAUGUAUCUAGUUAAUGAAAAUUACAUUAUUUAAUACUAUGAGUAUUUUGGUAAAUUGACUCUCAUUCUCAUUCCUCAUUCCCAUUUAUUUUGCUAAGUAAACACAUUAAAGACAUUCCUGCACAUUCUCAUUCUCAUUUAUUUUUUGUAAGUAAAUAUUGGAAUCUCAUUCUUAUUCCAACUCAUUCUAUAUAGUAAACGCAUCAUAAAAAUGAAGAUUUCAUAACUAUUUUUAGGGGUGUUCACGAAUUGAAUUUUACGGAUUGGAUAUCAAUCCAUAUCGAAUCCACGAUUUUGCGGAUUAUAAAUUUUUAAUCAAAUCCAAUCCAUGGAUUAGUGAAAUUCAAUCCAAAUGUCUGUAGAUCAGAUGCAGAUUUAACCUAAUCUACCAUUUUAUAGAUUGGUUUGCAAGCUAAAACUUUUUAAUCAUAUCCUAUCCACGAACUAACUAAAUAAAAAAAUUAAUAUAAAAAUAAUUUUACUAUCAAUCAAAUUUAAAAUUAAAUAAGAUUUAAAUAAAUUAGUUGUUUAAAUAAAAUUAAAAAAUACAUUCAAAGUUUUAAAAUAUAACACACCAAAAAGAAAAAAAUUUCAAAGUUUUGUUUAGAUCAGUACAUGAAAAUUAACUGCCUGGAAGCUAUAUUUUUUAUUUAAUUAUUGUUAUUUUAUAUUAUUAUCGGAUAAGACAUAAUAUGAUGUUAAUUUAACUAUAUUUUAACUUAUUUAUUUAUUAAUAAGUAUAAUAUCAUAUUUAUAAGUUUAAUUUUUCUAUUAAAUAAAUAUUUUUUAUAUUUUUUUACUGAUUCCCAAAUUUUUACGGAUUCACAAAAGUAAAUCUAUAUUUAAUCCACCGACUGCGGAUUUUUAAAUUUUCAAUUCAAUCUAAUCCAUCAAUCCACGAAUUAAAUUUGUACAGAUCGAAUUUAUACGGAUUAGACUGAUUGAGCGGAUCCGAUUAAAUUCUAAACACUCCUGACUAUUUUAGUCAACUUUGCUUCGUCACUGUUUGGCUGUCUGGGUAACUGAUAAGGGUCCUUCUAUCUUACAUGCAUGUAAGAUAUAUUCCUCUCACAUGAAUAGUGUGUGGGUCCCACACAUAUACUAUUCAUGUGAGGGGGAUGUAUCUUACAUGCAUGUAAGAUAGGGUUUGCCAACUGAUAAUAGAUAAAAGUCAAAAUAAGAGACAAGAGUUAUAAUUGGCCAUUUCAAGCUCAAAGUGUAAACGUGCCCAGUGCCAAUUCGAAGUUUGAAAAGAAACGUGGGUUAAGUGGACUCUAUCAUCUUAGAAAAAAUGAAGAAACCAGAAAAAAUGAAGAAACCAGAAAAAACUGCUGCUGCUUCUUAUCAUCAACAUCUUUCAUUAUUACUUUUAUUUCUCUAUUGCAUUUUUGUAGCUGCAGAGAAAGAUUCAGUUGGGUAUGGCUACUCUGUUCGAUCAGUCGCUGUUGACUCCUCACUGAAGUCGUUGACUGCUGGACUUGGCCUCAUCAGGUCCUCCUCUGUUUACGGACCUGAUAUUCAGAGCCUCAAUCUUUUUGCCAGGUUUUAAAAUUUACAACUUAAUUGUUCCUUGCUUUUAUGUAUUGUUCACUGACUGUUGGACUAAGCAGUCAGCGAGAAAGACUUGUUUCAAGUUCUAAAUUCGAUAAGCUAGUGAUUUUUGAUGAUUUUUGGUUUGUGACUCUAAGAUUGAUUGAUCUGAUUAUGCUCUGUUUCCCUUCAGCUUUGAGACAAAAGACCGUUUGAGAGUUCGAAUAACAGAUUCCAAAAAACAAAGAUGGGAAAUCCCGCAGGAAAUCAUCCCCCGCCAAUCCUAUUGCACUCACUGCUGGCUGCCGGAAAACAGACUAAACUCACCGGUAAACCACCAAACAGGGCCGGGAAACCACUUCCUCUCCGACCCCACCUCAGACUUAGUCUUCACCCUCCACACCACCCCAUUUGGCUUCUCGGUCAAACGGCGAUCCUCCGGCGACAUUCUUUUCGACACAUCACCUGAAACCUCACACUCUGACACUUUCUUGGUGUUUAAGGAUCAAUACAUUCAACUCUCUUCAGCAUUACCAAUAGAAAGGUCUCAUCUGUAUGGAAUUGGAGAGCACACAAAGAAAUCAUUCAAGUUGACUCCCAAUGACACUCUAACUUUGUGGAAUGCUGACUUGGCCUCAGCAAAUGUUGAUGUUAAUCUCUAUGGCUCUCAUCCUUUUUAUAUUGAUGUGAGGUCGCCCAAUGGGACAACACAUGGUGUUCUGCUUCUUAACAGCAAUGGCAUGGAUGUCGUUUAUACUGGUGACAGGAUUAGUUACAAGGUUACUGGAGGGAUUAUUGAUUUGUAUUUUUUUGCCGGACCUUCGCCGGAUUCAGUCAUACAACAAUAUACAGAGUUAAUUGGUCGGCCUGCCCCUAUGCCAUAUUGGUCCUUUGGUAUCUUUUCUGUGAAUACCUGCUUACUUUGUUUUGAUAAGUUACGCUAAUACUUAUACACAAUUUAAUCAUUCUCUAUGUUGCAAUACGAUGGAUUGGAGUAAAUUAUUCGAAAAUUUCUUCAUUUUUGCCAUACAUUUGUUUGAGAUUAUACUAUACGGGUUGUACUUGUUGGCCACUUACCAUCAUGAGUUAUACAUUGUAGAGUAAGUUUGAGAAAAAGAAAAUAUAAAGUAUCCUUUCUUAUUUUACUUAGGCCUGUCUGUCAUUGUGGUUGGGUAACUAUAGGUUAAAAGUUACGGCACUAAAAUAUUUAGUACAUAUUAACUGUUGUGGCUUAGAAGUUAAGCUGAUUUAAUAUGCCGCUUGUAUAAUGAAAAACCUAAAAUAUCUUUAUUAUUUUUGUCAAAAUGAUUAUUUACUACGUACUAUUAAUUUUUAUUUCAUAAUCACAAUUAUUAUAACUUAAAAACUAUGGCACCUCACUACCAAACUAAGGCCUUAGUUACCUUAUUAACAAAUCAAAUAUAGAGUCACCACAAUUUGAUUUACUAGCUUUGAUAAGUUAUUCAUUCUGAAGUAUUCUUCUAUCUGCCUUGAGAUAAAUUUAUUUUCUUGGUGUAUAACUCUUCUAAGCUAGGUUUCCAGUUAACCAAAGGUGACGGCAUGACCAAUUAUUUCGUUCUUCCCAAUUUGAUUUUCACGUUGUCUUAAUGCACAGGAUUUCAUCAGUGUCGAUAUGGUUACGAAAACGUGUCCGAUCUUAAAGCUGUGGUUGCUGGCUAUGCAAAAGCUGGCAUCCCUCUUGAAGUUAUGUGGACAGAUAUUGAUUACAUGGAUGGAUAUAAGGAUUUCACUCUGGAUCCCAUCAACUUUCCAGUGAACUCAAUGCAAAAUUUUGUAAAUACACUCCAUCAAAAUGGACAGAGAUAUGUGCUCAUCUUGGAUCCUGGUAUGUAGUUAUAGAAAAUGAAUUAUCUUACUGCAGAAACAUUUUUUCAGUUUAUUUAUCGUGUCGAUCAAUAAGCCGGAUUAGAGCUCAUUUGUCACAAUAUCCUUUAUAUUUUCCCUUAAAAUAAUUCACUGAACACUAAAGUUUGUCGUAAUAUCUUACAAUGAGUAAGUAAUAUGUAUCACAGUAUACACUAAACGAUAUAAAGUUAUAAACUAUGAUUUGUGGUGAAAUGAUCUAUUCUUAUGUACGAAUUAUACGAAACAUUUUGAUAUAAUCGUCCAAAUUAUAGUAAAAAAAGAAACGCUAGCUUUUGAGGUAACCUAAGAAGUGUCUUGCCGGUUAACUUUCACUACCUAUUUUUCACCUAAUCUUUAGCUCCCUUUUCCUCUCCGACACAUACCCUCAAAUAUAUAGGGGGGUGGGGGAACAUUUUGUUUGUUAUUUUUUAUUUAAACUGGUAGGUUUUUAACCUAAAAUGUUAUAAAUUUUUGGUUUGAGUAAUUAUUUCAUUACUAUGGUACCAAAACAUCCCUAAUAUAUGUGUGUAUAUUUGCUAAUUACUAUGAAAGCUCUAGACAUAAAAUAAAAUAUAAAAAAAGAAAAGAAAAGAAAACUUGAAAAGGCCAGAACAUACAUUAUCCAUCAUAAAUCUUGCCCAAGCCUAAUACAAACUUUGUUUUAAGAAAUCAAUUUACAUUUUAGCAUAGAAAUCAUUAAUUUACAUCUUUAAUUUCUGCUGAAAAAUCAUGAAUAUCUUUCAUUAACCUUUAUUUUCAUUUCAAAGUUUGAAAUUUUUUUUUUUUAAUAAAGGCAUUAGAUAAAAUUAUAAAUAUUUUUAAAUAAAUUCAUCGACACCUCUUUUUCUUAUCUUAAGGUGGAGCGUUAUUUAAAUCUCUCCAACAUGUAAUUGUGAAAAAUGAGCUUCUACAAUUUUAUAUAUUGCGUUUCUCUUUAUAUAUUUAUAUAUUUAUAUAUUUAUAUAUUUAUAUUUAUAUUUAUAUUUAUAUGGACUUUUGCAUUAAAUUUUAGUUGUGAUUUAUACUUACCCUCAUAGUUAUAUUGUACACAAUAUAUAAAAAGAAAAAAGGAAAUUUAAAUUUUGACAAAGUGCCAUUUUGUUAUAUAAAUUUUACUAGAUAAUAAGAGAAAGUACAUAUGCUUAAUUUUUUUUUUAAAAUUUCGGAAAUACAUAUACUUUGCAUUCGGGUUUUGUGCAAACUAUAUAUGUGAUAAAAAAAUUUGGUCAUCAACAUCAGAUAACAUUAGAACAUCACUCUUUGCAGAUAAUAAUCAUAAAAUUAAUUUAUCAUUAUUAAAUUAAUAAUAAUAUUAAUUUUAUUAUUUUAGUUAUUAUUAAUUAUUUGUAUUAUUAUUUUUAUUAAUAUUAUCAUUAUUAUCAUUUAUUAUUAUUAAUUUUAUUUUUUUAAUUAAAAUUAUUUUUAUAAUAAUAUUUACACAUGUAUCUAGUUAAUGAAAAUUACAUUAUUUAAUACUAUGAGUAUUUUGGUAAAUUGACUCUCAUUCUCAUUCCUCAUUCCCAUUUAUUUUGCUAAGUAAACACAUUAAAGACAUUCCUGCACAUUCUCAUUCUCAUUUAUUUUUUGUAAGUAAAUAUUGGAAUCUCAUUCUUAUUCCAACUCAUUCUAUAUAGUAAACGCAUCAUAAAAAUGAAGAUUUCAUAACUAUUUUUAGGGGUGUUCACGAAUUGAAUUUUACGGAUUGGAUAUCAAUCCAUAUCGAAUCCACGAUUUUGCGGAUUAUAAAUUUUUAAUCAAAUCCAAUCCAUGGAUUAGUGAAAUUCAAUCCAAAUGUCUGUAGAUCAGAUGCAGAUUUAACCUAAUCUACCAUUUUAUAGAUUGGUUUGCAAGCUAAAACUUUUUAAUCAUAUCCUAUCCACGAACUAACUAAAUAAAAAAAUUAAUAUAAAAAUAAUUUUACUAUCAAUCAAAUUUAAAAUUAAAUAAGAUUUAAAUAAAUUAGUUGUUUAAAUAAAAUUAAAAAAUACAUUCAAAGUUUUAAAAUAUAACACACCAAAAAGAAAAAAAUUUCAAAGUUUUGUUUAGAUCAGUACAUGAAAAUUAACUGCCUGGAAGCUAUAUUUUUUAUUUAAUUAUUGUUAUUUUAUAUUAUUAUCGGAUAAGACAUAAUAUGAUGUUAAUUUAACUAUAUUUUAACUUAUUUAUUUAUUAAUAAGUAUAAUAUCAUAUUUAUAAGUUUAAUUUUUCUAUUAAAUAAAUAUUUUUUAUAUUUUUUUACUGAUUCCCAAAUUUUUACGGAUUCACAAAAGUAAAUCUAUAUUUAAUCCACCGACUGCGGAUUUUUAAAUUUUCAAUUCAAUCUAAUCCAUCAAUCCACGAAUUAAAUUUGUACAGAUCGAAUUUAUACGGAUUAGACUGAUUGAGCGGAUCCGAUUAAAUUCUAAACACUCCUGACUAUUUUAGUCAACUUUGCUUCGUCACUGUUUGGCUGUCUGGGUAACUGAUAAGGGUCCUUCUAUCUUACAUGCAUGUAAGAUAUAUUCCUCUCACAUGAAUAGUGUGUGGGUCCCACACAUAUACUAUUCAUGUGAGGGGGAUGUAUCUUACAUGCAUGUAAGAUAGGGUUUGCCAACUGAUAAUAGAUAAAAGUCAAAAUAAGAGACAAGAGUUAUAAUUGGCCAUUUCAAGCUCAAAGUGUAAACGUGCCCAGUGCCAAUUCGAAGUUUGAAAAGAAACGUGGGUUAAGUGGACUCUAUCAUCUUAGAAAAAAUGAAGAAACCAGAAAAAAUGAAGAAACCAGAAAAAACUGCUGCUGCUUCUUAUCAUCAACAUCUUUCAUUAUUACUUUUAUUUCUCUAUUGCAUUUUUGUAGCUGCAGAGAAAGAUUCAGUUGGGUAUGGCUACUCUGUUCGAUCAGUCGCUGUUGACUCCUCACUGAAGUCGUUGACUGCUGGACUUGGCCUCAUCAGGUCCUCCUCUGUUUACGGACCUGAUAUUCAGAGCCUCAAUCUUUUUGCCAGGUUUUAAAAUUUACAACUUAAUUGUUCCUUGCUUUUAUGUAUUGUUCACUGACUGUUGGACUAAGCAGUCAGCGAGAAAGACUUGUUUCAAGUUCUAAAUUCGAUAAGCUAGUGAUUUUUGAUGAUUUUUGGUUUGUGACUCUAAGAUUGAUUGAUCUGAUUAUGCUCUGUUUCCCUUCAGCUUUGAGACAAAAGACCGUUUGAGAGUUCGAAUAACAGAUUCCAAAAAACAAAGAUGGGAAAUCCCGCAGGAAAUCAUCCCCCGCCAAUCCUAUUGCACUCACUGCUGGCUGCCGGAAAACAGACUAAACUCACCGGUAAACCACCAAACAGGGCCGGGAAACCACUUCCUCUCCGACCCCACCUCAGACUUAGUCUUCACCCUCCACACCACCCCAUUUGGCUUCUCGGUCAAACGGCGAUCCUCCGGCGACAUUCUUUUCGACACAUCACCUGAAACCUCACACUCUGACACUUUCUUGGUGUUUAAGGAUCAAUACAUUCAACUCUCUUCAGCAUUACCAAUAGAAAGGUCUCAUCUGUAUGGAAUUGGAGAGCACACAAAGAAAUCAUUCAAGUUGACUCCCAAUGACACUCUAACUUUGU